CCUCUGUCUAAAGUUUAACUGUAAGCUGCACGCUCUCUCUUAGAAGACUACUAGGAGUAGUAGCUAAUAGAUAGGUCUGAAACAGGAAGGGAUUGAGAAACUCCUGUGUUUGGAUUCGUUAAUUACCUGUUACUGUAUCUGGAGGGUAUUUGGAUGCAGCCAGCUAACAAUUAUUAGCAGGUUUCCGUUAUUUCUCUACAUAUUAACUAUUAUUAAAUGAUUUGGUCAUAGCGUCCAGCUAACAAUUAGCUAGUCUAUUAUUUAUAUUUAUUUGAAUCGAAAAAAGAUAAUUAUUGGUAGAUAACUACUAGUAAUGUAUCUGCGGGAUCCAAACAAGACCUUAUAACGAGGUCAUGGACACUCAACUCUGAUUAUUAUAUUGUGCUCCGAAUCAAGAAUGAGAGAUUUCCUGACACUUGAACUGAACAAAUACAGUAAAACAGUACGGAGUAGAGGACAACAAGGCAUAUAUAGCUGUAACUUUUAGUAUACAGUAACAAACAAACACACAGGCACAAAACAUGCAUGUGACUAGACGAUCCGAUCCAAUCCAACCAUUUAAAAAAAACUAGGAACAAUGCCUGCCUGACGAUUCCCUCCAUCUGUUGUGCUAUUUUUUCUUUUUGAAAAACCAAACAAACAGGUUUGCAGCUUGACCAUAUUUUUUUUAAAAAAAAGUCUUGGGAAAGCGCAAAGCUGUGCUAUUUGAUAUAUAUUAAUAUAUAUAUAUUAAUUAAGCAAUGGUGGUAUAUAUUAAUAAGCACGAGGGAGGAAGAAAACAAACAGGUAGUAAACCAUAAGCAAGCACAACAAAUACUAUAUAUGACAGUCACAUCGUGGAACAGCUGUGUAUGGCAAAAUUUCUUUGUACAUUCUCAUCGCCUAGACGUACAUGCUUAUAUAUAUAAUAAAAAUGUCGGCCACUCAAACCUUAUUAUAACCUUAUAUAGCUAUAUACUUAUAUAUUAUGCCACUUGUGGUUUGCCAAUGAUAAAUUAAAGCAGCCGGCUAGCUAGGAUGUAGAGUAUAUACUUUUGAACUAAAAUAUAUACUGUAGUGUGAGAAGAAUAGGUCGCAGGAAUCGAAAACCUGAGGUCAUGCAUGACAUGAUGAUACAUACAUACUCACUCGUCACUCCAUCUUAGGAGGGGGAAAAAAAUAUACAAUUCUCACUUUUAAUUUGUGAAUCAGUAGUCGCGGGCGCAACGGUUUAUACAUGUACUAGCAUAUCAGAGGAAUCAGUAAUUAUAUAAUAGUAUCUAUCUCUAUACACAAUAAUACAUCUUGGGAAGCAAAUUAAGCAAGGCAGUGGGGAAUCCAAAGAAACGAAACGGAUUCAUAUGAAGGAACAUGCAUAUGCAUGGGAAGGGGCCGGGGGAGACGGGGGAUGGCAUGGAAUGGAAUGGAACCGAGAGAGAGGCUAUAGCCUGUAACAGAAGGAGAAGCAGGAGCAGGAGCAGAGCAGGCUAUGGAGGCGGCAGCAUGCAUGGAGGAGGAAGAAGACGAUCGGAGACAACGCACAUACCGGCCGAUGGAGCUGCGAGCUGAGCUAGUUCCUGCGCUGCGCUGAAGAGGAAGAGGGAGGGGACGGCACCGCCGGGAUGGAAUGGAAUUGGAUGGAUAGGCAGGCAGCCCUCUCUUGCUGUCUGUGAGUUUGUGUGUUUUAUAUAAAGGGAGGAGGAGGAGGAGGAUGGUGUGCUUACGACAGUGCUGACGUAAGACGUUUGCUUUGGACAGAGAGAUAGAGAGGCGUCGUUGGUGGUCACAAAAGGAUUUUUUUUUGAGAUAAUGAACGCGGCGGCAUCGCAUCGGAGUGGCACGUCGAGUCCACACGUGCAUUGCAGAUUUGCAUGUACAUUUGGUGCUUCUAGAAAGGGAGAGGACACGGCCGACGGUGUGGGGUCCCUGGUCGAUGUCGACACGUUGGGUCUCCUCUUGCGAGAGGCUAUCACACUCCUCGCCUCACUCGUGCAAAUAAAUCAAGGGUUAAUUAGAUCUGUACUAUUAUAUAAUUUUAUUGUUUCUAAAGCAUACCAUUACUAUUUAAGAAAUCGUACCAUCGUCAUUGUAACUCUGUAGAUGUUUGAGAUAUGCUAGGCCUAUAGCGGUAAUGCUACUUCUAGAGCGUCCAUCCGCAUCAGACGACCCACUCCACCGAGCGUGAACCAACAACGAAGAGACCCGACACGCCUCCUGACUUCCUAUCCAUUCGCUCGACGCCUACUCGUCACUUUCUUCUCUGCGCGUCAUGGCUCCAUCUUUGCUCGCUCCACUCUGCUACUGCUUGCGCUGCCUUCGCUGCUGCUCAUCAAGACGGAGGCACAGUAAGAUCCAGCUCGCUUGUUCCCUCUCCCUUCCUCCCUUCUUCCCUCCCUCCGACCUCCAUGUCACACGAAGAGGAGGGCGACGGCAGCGGCUUCUAGCGAGCCGCACCAUCCCUGCCUCCCUCCUCCCCCAUGUGACCUCCACGCCAUCGGAGAUGAGGGCUCUGGCAGUAGAUUUCAGUGAGGUAGGUGGGUCUUUAUCUCGAUCUGAACCCUCCUUCUCUUCCUCUUCCUCCUCCUCGCUCUGGAUCUAAGGUUGCGGCGGUGGCUAGGGUUUCGACGAGCUCUCGUGGUCAGAUCUAUCUGUGAUGUAGUGAGUUUCUCGGAUGUUGCAGUACGUUUCAGUUGAUAUUGCAGUAGUACUGCUUGAGAUGUUGCAGUAUGGUUUUCAAUUGUUUCAAUUUUAUGUCGCGGUGGUUGUUCCAUGUUGUUGCAACAGUCUGUUCGGUGUUGUUUGCAAUAAUAUGUUCAUGAUGUUUCAUUGUUUCAGUUACUUCAGCAUAAUGUUUCAGCUGUUGUUCUUUUCUUGUUUGCAAUAAUAUGUUUUUUGAUGUUUCAACUUCUUCAUCGCAAUGUUGCAGUAGCAGUGCUUUUGAGAUGUAGUAUGGUUUCAGUUGCUUCAAUCUCAUGUUAUAGUAGUUCUUCUAUGUUGUUGCAGUAGUAUGUUUCAUUCAGUUCUAUUUUGUUUUUUUGCAAGUGUUUCAUUAGCAUGUUUCGAGUGUUUCAGUUGUUUCGUACUUAAUGUUGUAAGUGUUUCAUCUAUAGAUGUUUCAGAAGUAUAUCUGGUGUUGCAAAUAGUGUGUUUCAGAUGCAAGUUUUAUAUGUUUCAUCUGCCUUCAGACGUAUGUUGAAAAUGUUGCAUUUGGAUGUUUCAAAAGUAGAUCGAGUGUUGCAUCCUUGUCUUCGCUUUUCUGCUCCCUCAUGUUCGCCUCGUUGUCUUUCCCUCCUCCUUUUAGCACCGACUAAGCAUAUAUCGCCUCUCCCUCUCUUCUGGAUAUUGGUCUAGCCACCUGUUGUAGUCACCCACCCCCUCUCUUCUGGAUGUUGGUCUAACCACCUGUUGUAGUCACCCGCCGCAGCCGUAGGCUUGAAGGGUCAAGAUGGCGGACUAGAGGGGGGUGGAUAGUCCUUUCUAAAAUUUAUUGUGCCGGCUAACCGAAACAAAUGCGGAAUUAAAACUAUCGGUCUAGCCAAGAUUACACCCCUCUAUCUAAGUUCUCUAGCACCUUGAAAAGAUCCUAAACAAGCAAGCAAGGUGCUACCUUAGCAAGAGCUCACCUAACCAAUUCUAGGAGCAAGGUCACACAAACCUAUGCCACUAGUACUUUGCAAGACCGGGGAGCUCCUACACAACUAGUAAGCAAAAGCACAAAGCUCCUAAGCUCACUAGCAAUGCUCAAUAACAAGGCAACCAAUGCCAAACUAGAGAGUGCAAAUUACUUAGCUACACAAACUAAGCAAUGUGACUAACAAGGUUACACAAACCAAAUUAGUCACACAAGGGGAACUACUUCUAGCUACACAAGCAAGAAGGUAACUAGCAAGCUACACAAGCUAACUAAUUACAAGAGCAACUACACAAGCACAAAUAUAUGAAUGUAAGAACAAGCUUGUGUUAGGGACUUGCAAACCAACGGGAAGAACAAUGUUGACAUGAAGAUUUUCUCCCGAGGUUCACUUGGUUGCCACCAAGCUACAUCCCCAUUGUGUCGACCAACACUUGGUGGUUCGACGGCUAAGAGGUGUUACACGAACCUCAUCCCCACUAGGACACCGCAAGAACCUACCCACAAGUGAGGUAGCUCAAUGACACGCAUGAUCCAAUAGAGUUGCUCUUCGCGAUCCCCGCGAGGUGAGCACCGUACCCCUCAUAAUCUCUUCUCUAGAGCACCGCACAAUCUCCUUGCAUGCUUCGACGAAGUCACAAGCCACCAAGUCGUCUAGGAGGUGGCAACCUCCAAGAGUAACAAGCACCACCGGCUUGCAACACGAACACCUAGUGCCACUUGAUGCAAUCUCUCAAUGCAACGCACUAGAAUCUCUCACUCACACAAUUGGAUGAUCACUAUCAAGUUUAUGUGAGUUAGAGGCUUCACUAGCACUCCCUAAGCAUAGACACUAAGUCCCAAGGGUGCUCAACACUAGCCAAGGCCGGCCACCACUUCUAUUUAUAGCCCCAAGGGCUAAACUAGCCGUUGCCUCUUUACUAGGCAAAAGUCGUGAGCACCGAACUCACUCCAGGGAGCCACUGGACGCUGGAACAGUGCGUCCAGUGCUCCAAAAACAGCCACGUCACUAGCCGUUUGAACUCGACUGUUACCGCCAACGACUAGCACGCGCGCGCACCUGAAGCAGCCACACCAGACGCUGGUCCACACCGGACGUAUCCGGUGCACACCGGCCCCGUGCGCAGAGAGGGUUGCAAAGUCGCUCGCACACCAGACUCACACCACCGGACUCACUCCUGAGCGUCUGGUCCCUUACUCAGAGAGGUUUGCAAAAUGUAGGGUCACCGAACUCGCAGCACCGGACGCAUCCUGAGCGUCUGGUGCUCUCAGUCAAAAGCACCCACUGAAGUUACGUCACACCGGACGCACACAUAGGGACUAGCCCGCGUCCGGUGCUUAACCCUAAUAGCGCCAGACAUAGACAGCACACCGGACGCUAAGGUCAGCGUCCGGUGUGUGCCCGCGACUUCUCCAAAUUUCCCACCGGCGCAAUAGAAAAUAUGCACUUAAUUUUCUCAAAAGCGCCGAAUCCCACCGAGCUAGCUCGGCAGGAGGGAGAGAGGAACCCAAACCCCUCUCUACCCUAGGAAUUCCACCUCCUUUGUAAAUGUGCUAGCACCACCAAGUGUACACCACCAUGAGCAAGUGUAUUAGUAUUUUUUCAAACAAUUUCCCAAAGGAGUUAGCCUCUCAAACUUGUCACGCCACUUGAUCCUAACACGUAUGCAAAGUUGGAUUGCUCAAGUGGCACUAGAUGACCGAUAUGCAAACAAGUUUGCCCCUCUUGAUAGUAUGGCCAUCUAUCCUAAAUCUAGUCAUAAUCUUCUCUACACACCUAUGACCGGUGAAAUAGAAAUGCCCUAGGUUAUACCUUUGCCUUGCGCAUUCUAUUUCAUCUCCUCCGAGAUUGAUGCAACACAUGCAUCAACCAAUCAUCAAAUGAUGUGAUCCACUUCAUAUCAUCACGUGAUCGUAUUGAUUCAUCGAUCUUGACCUCACUUGCUCUUCACCAUUGCCUCGGUCCAUCGGCGCCAAGUCUUGCUCAAGCUUCACCGUAACACGUGGUCCCUCGCUUCAAAGCCUCUCACUUGCCCUUCACUCUUGCAACCGGUCUAUCAAACCAAGCCUCAUCUUGAUCUUCGCCACCUUGGUCACAUGACUCCAUGUCAUGUCUCAUAUGCAAUGAGCUCCUUCAUCAUCACAUAAUCACAUGUGGACUAAUCUCCUGUGUAGCUCACAUAAACACAAUUAGUCCACCUAAGUUGUCACUCAAUUACCAAAACCAAACAAGGAUCUUUCAAAAUUGCGUGUAUGCGCAUGAGCAGCGGAGGGGUGCGAGCGGGUCGGGGCAGCACAAGGUGGGUCCAAACGGUGCGGGAACCACAUGGGUGGGCACAGGUUGCAGACGCGCGCGGGGGGGAGACGGAGUGUAGGCCCGAGCGUCCGGACACGCGUAUCCGUCCGGACGACCGGGCGCUAGCAGUGCCCGGCUUAUAGCGGUAUUGCGCCAACUUGCAAGCGGGAUGUGGUGGAUGUGGAGGUAGGGAUUGAGGCAGGGUGGUGCCAUCCAAGGGCGUGCGGCGUUGCUGUAGGGGACGGCAACUGCUCAGCUACGGCAAGGGAGUGGCGGAGGCUGGAGGCACGCUAGUCGGUGGGGACACUGUGGCUCGCGGUGUUGCAGUGUAGCGAGCCAAAAAGUAGAUAGAAGAGGGAUGACAAGUGGGUUCGGUGUGUCUUAGAGUGGGACAGAGGGAGACUAGCAGGGGCAAAAGUGUCUAUAUAAAAAGUACAUUGGCUUUAGGGGUUCUGAAAAGGGAUCUAAUAUGACUUUAUGCGUCCAUAAUAAUGUAUUAAAUAAUUAUAAUAGCAACGGCAUAGUUUUUUUAAAUAGCAAUAAUGACAUGGUGUACUUAAAAAAGGGUAAAUUUAUAAUGGGACGGAUCCAAUUAACUAAAUUAACGUGCGCGUGCUUGCUUCCUGAUCCUGCUCAGUGCGUGCUGGCUGGUCAAAAUAACGAUGUCAAAUCAUAAAAAUGGGCCGGCAGACAAGAUCGAGGAGGGGAUGAAUAAUACUUAGGCCUGAUGGUAGUUUCAUAACACAGUUUUCUACAUACCUAUAUUUUGUAAAUAGUAUAAAAGAGUUUUAUCCCCAUAAAUCUCUCUCUAUUUCUAUAAAACUUUUAUCACCUCUCUUUUUAUUAAUAUAGUGAUACAUUAGUAUAUUUAAUGUUCUUGAAACAAUGAUGAAACACUAUUAAGGCUGACCUUAGGCUCCGUUUGGUUUGUAUCGAUAAACUUUAACUUCUAUCAUAUUAAAUUUGGACACAUGUAUGAAUUAUUAAAUAUAUAUAAAAAUAACUAACUGCAUAGUUUGAUGAAAUUUGUUUUACGAAUCUUUUGAGCCUAAUUAGUCCAUGAUUGGAUACUAAUUACCAAAUAAAACCAAAAUACUACAAUACAUGUUAAACAUUAACAUUUCCAACCAAACACGUUCUUAGUAAUUGAUCCUCAAAACCAAACUUUUUUAAUUUAUGAUGAACCUAACCAAUCGGAUGCGUGCAAGGGGAGAGAGUACCUUGGGAAGCAAGGCAGACAGGAGUUCUAUUAUAAUAAUAAUGAGAAGGAUUUCCAUAUGUUGUCGUUGUACAAAGAAGAAAUAUGAAUAUGUUAGAGUGUUAAUCAUUAAGAAUCGGAAGAUGUAUAUGUAUGUAUUGGUAAUUUAGCAAUAUAUGUUAAUAAAUAAUAUAGUUAGCUAACGUGAGUAGUUUGAAUGAAAACAUAAUGAUAUGUGUUAGUUAGAUUUAUUAGUGGAUGUUGAUGUGGACACUUUAUACGGCGAGAUAGUUAAAUGUGUUAUAUGCUGGUAGUAUGUUCAAGUAGAUGUUAAUAUAGACAUUUUAUAUGGCAAGAGAAAUAGUAAGUGUAGUUUAGUAUUAUAAGAGAUAACGAAUUGUUGAGUUUACACCUACUACGGCCAGCCGGCAUUGCUUUCUUCUAGAAUCGAGACGACGUGGAUUAUUUAUGAUGCAUGAUGUCGUCGACACGUACGUUAUCGUGGCUCUCUCUUAGGCUAUUAGAAUAAGGAUAAUAAUACAUUUCACUUAAGGAUUUUUAGCUUAUCUAUAUAGUAGUUAGCUAUUUAUUAUUAAUAUAUGACUCAUGUAUCUUUUUUAUAAAGUUUUUUGGUUUUUUUGUUUAAGCUGACUGUAUCUAUAUAAUAUUUAGCUAUUCACUAUUAACAUAUGACCCAUAUCUUUUUUAUAAAGUUUUUUUGGUUUCUGUGCUUAAGCUGACUGUAAGUUUGCAGUCUGCUUCUCUUUUCUCUCCUCUCUUAUCUUUUUAUUUCAGUAUUUAGCCAGCUUAGAACCCGUUACUAUACUUGCUUUUACUCUCAGAAAUUAACGUGUGUUUUUUUUUCUCGCUCACUGCAGCCUACAGAAGAAAAAAGCUUUAAAAAUGACAAAGAAAAUAAAAAUUCUUUUCAGAUAUUUUUUAUCGUUCACUGCAGCCUACAGGAAAAAAAGCUUUAAAAAAAGACAAAAAAAAUUAAAAAUAGCUUACAGAAAAAAAAAAUAAAAAUGUAUGUUUUUUUUUCUCGCUCACUGCAGCCUACAGAAGAAAAAAGCUUUAAAAAUGACAAAGAAAAUAAAAAAUUCUUCUGAGAUGUUUUUUUAUCGUUCACUGCAGCCUACAGGAAAAAAAGCUUUAAAAAAGGACAAAAAAAAUUCAAAAUAGCCUACAGAAAAAAAACACUAAAAAAGACAAAAAAAAUCAAAAACUCUGUUGAGAGUGGGAUUUGAACCCACGCCCUUUCGGACCAGAACCUUAAUCUGGCGCCUUAGACCAACUCGGCCAUCUCAACUUUUUGUUGAAAAUAGUCUUAAGUUAUAAUUUUGUUACAUUGUUUCAUAGUUCAAAGUCAGCAGUAUGAACUAUCAAACUCGUCGUGGCUACGUGAACUAUGAAACUCUAACUCAAGACUACGUAAAUAGGUUUGCGUUAAAAACAGCAUUUCUGAGCUCGUCGUAGUGUGGCCACUACGAGCUCAUCCCCGUUGUUGUUUCACGAAUUUUUAGUGAUGAUCAGAAAUGCUGUUUUUAACGCAAAAAAACACUUAAUCAAGAGUUAAAUACUCUGUUGUGUAUCAAUUGAUUAGAUGCAUGGGUUAGCAUUAGUCUAGCUAGUGGAAACCUUCCACCAACAUAUUCUACUAGCAGUUGCCCGGGUUCUUUGAUGUCAUUCUUUUUUUUUUUCUUUAACAAAAAAACUAAACACCAUAAAACUAAUUUUUUAAUUUUCUUUUUAACUGAAAUUUGGGUCCAACUACAUUCUCUAAUGUUAGCCACGACCGGUAUACGAGUCUGAAAGCAUCAUGUACGGGUACGGCUGCUUAGCCUGUUUGAGUUGCUUUGCUAAUGAAUGAGAGCAUGCACAUACGGGAGAAGAGAGCCACGGCCCACGGGACGGGGCACACGCACACCUCGUUUUGGGCCUGGGCUGACAAGCACGCAGCAACAGACGGGCCUGCACCCGCUUGGGCCUGGUGGACCGUGUGGUUCAUGUGGCGGCAGGUCCACGCGCGGUGGGCUUUGCCUGGACCGGGCUCGCUAUUUUCAGAAGGAAAAACAACACCGCAAUAACACACACAAAAAAAAUAAUAAUAACCAGAAGUUCCUUCUUAUUUAUACAAAAUCACAAGUGAAGACAUGCAAACUGUGAUGACCUGUCACGCAUAACUUCCUAGUAUGCAGAAUGUGAUGAAGCAGGCAACAGCUCACAAUAUAACAGGCAGUGGAGACAUGCAGUCAGUGCUCACUACAGCAAACUGCAAUCCAUUCAGUUAAUUGAAUAGUGUUAGCAACCAUUGAUGCUUUCAUUCUGCAAUCCGUUCUUGUACUGACCAUUGAUGCUUUCAUAUGAAGGAAGACCUACCACAAAAAGGACCAGAAAGCAUGUAAGAAUGUAUUGAACACAUAUACACACAGACAACCCGAGGCCUUGUUUAGUUCCGAAAAAGUUUUGAAUUUCGGUACCGUAGUAUUUUCGUUUUUAUUUGAUAAAUAUUAUCCAAUCAUAGACUAACUAUGUUCAAAAGAUUCAUUUCGUGAUUUAUAGGCAAACUGUGUAAUUAGUUUUUGCAUGUGCCGCAAGAUUCGAUGUGUCAGGAAAUCUUGAAAAGUUUUUGGUUUUUGGGGUGAACAUGCCAUGAUCUUGUGCCACAUCUCAGAUCUUUAAUGGCUGUAUCUGUUUUGAGCACAUAUUUACAGUAGUAUCUCUCUAUUACAAAUUAUAAAUCAUUUUAAGAAUUUUGGAGAGUCAAAGCAUUUCAAGUUUGACCAAAUUUAUAUGGUAGGAUCAUAACAUUUAUGAUAUCAACUAAGUAUCAUUAGAUUCUUCAUUAAUUAUAUUUUCAUAGUAUAUCUAUUUGAUGCCACAAAACUUUGUAUUUUUUUCUAUAAUUUUGGUCAAAUUUGAGAUGCUUUGACUCUUCAAGAUUCUUGAAAUGACUUACAAUUUGGAAUAGAGGGAGUACCAAAUAAACGGUCAUUUCUAAUGGAAACGGUGCCAAUUGUCGUUAUUACAAAUUAAAAAAAAUACUCUUGAUGUACCAAGAGCUACAUACUACUACUAUGCUCAAGAUUUAAGACACUGCGAUCUUUUCCUAAUUUUUUCACACAUUAACUAAACUAAAUAACAUCGAGCUUGACACUUGGUGGGAUUGUUCUACUUAGGCAUGUCAUAGCUAUCCUCUUAUAGCUUCCUACAAAGGCGGUCCACUCUUUAUCGUCUGAUCACCAAGCGAAGUACUAUGUUAAUGUAUUGCGAUCAUCACCACGAGCUUCAUUGCAUGUUCUUGUUUUUUGGCACAUUAGACUGUUUAUCUAUGUUGUUGAUUCGAAAAAGGAUAAGCUUAUAUAUCCCAUAUAUCAUAUAUAGUAUCAGAAUUUACAACAUGUGGAUUGACAGAAAUAAAAAAUGAAUAAUAUCAAACGAGACAAAUGCAUCUUUGUAUGCAAUCAUCCAUCGUACAUGGAAAAUGUUUAUAGUUUACGAAGAACAAGAAAACAGUAUACCACCUAUCAAGCGUACUAAACUAGAUACCGUACACAUUGCUUUGUGCAAGAACGGCUCAAAUUUGAAUUAAAAUGAAGAUGCUGAUGUUAUGCACUAACCACUAAACAGGGCAGCAGGAGGCAUAAUAACUGAGAAGAAACAUAAACUAUGGACCUUUUAUAUAAAUUAGACUCGGCCAUUCAUUGAAGCUACAAAGGUUUGCGAGCAAAAUCUGCAACACACAGGCGUACUGCGCGCGUGAGAAAAGGGCCAAACUGCAAAUGGCCACAGUUUGCCACAAUGUCCAUUGUUAGGCCAGGACAAUAUAUAUUAUAAAAAAAAAUGGAUUGGGGGGGCAUGGCCCCCCUGGGUCUGGCAGUGUGCGCGCCCUUGGCAGAACUAUCAUCUACCAAAAGGGCAUAUAAUAUGUUACUGUUAGGCUGAGAAUUUUGUGUUCCUCAGGAUCCGGUGUGCCUCCUCAAACUGCACUUCGCAGAAAGGUGAUUAGUGAGUGUCAUAGUGUUACAAAUAUACUUGUUAGGAAAAAAAGAGUUUGAUCUAUUCUCUAUUGCCUAAUCAUCCACUACUAUAUGGAGUGAUUGAACCGAAUCUGUUGUUGUUGCCUGGCUACGCCAGCGUGCGCGCAUUUGCCAGAACUGUCAUCUGCCAAAAGGGCAUAAAAUGUGUUACUGUUAGGCUAAGAAUUUUACGAACAUAGCAAAGAUGGUAAAAAUAACCUUGAGGAUGGAAUCAAAGGGAUAAUCCUCGCUUAGUGCCGAAUCAAUUAAUCUUUGAAGGCCUUCCUCAGGAUCCCGUGUAUUUAGAGCAUAGUAGAUUUUAGUUUCACAAGUGUAAACAUUUGACAUAUGGUUUGUGUAAUCUAAAUUCGAAUGAUGUUGCUUGGUUGCUAUAUUGCGUAAUAUGUGCUUGUACAUGUGCUUUCAUAUAUGCCUUUGAUUUGUGAAAAUAUAAUUUAAAUUUAAAUUCAAAUUCAAAUUCAAAUCAAAUUGCAGAACUUUUUUAAUACUAAAAUUAAAUUGAAGACGAGUGUUGUAAAGUGGCCGCCUUCAUUAAAACUUUAAUAGAGACGAUCGAUAUAUGGUGCUCGCCUCCAUUAAUCUAAUUAAUGGAGGUGGUCAAUAUAUGGUGCUCGCCUCUAUUAAUCUAAUUAACGGAGGCGGUCGGUAUAUGGUGCCCGCCUCCAUUAAUAGGAUUAAUAGAGACGGGUAGUUUAACCGCCUCAGUUAUUCGUUGAUUAACUGUGUCUUUUUAUUGGAAGCGGUUAGCUUUGUCCAUCUUCAUUAACCAAAAGCGAUCAUCUCCAAUAAAGUUAUUGUACAAGCGUGAGACGGCACGACUCCUCAUGUGCGCGUGCAACAGCCGCGGCGACUGAAUGGGGGUGCUAUCAUGCUCGAUCCACGGGGUGGGAAUGGUCAUCGCCCGUCGUCUCCUUCAACGAGGAAAUGAAACGGGUGGAGGAUAUGGGAGCAAUUACUUUAGAUUUGGGUUAGGGCUAAAUACCCGCUAGGUUUGAACGGGUCAAACCUAGGAGAGAAAAUAAUUAAGAAAAGGAUAAUUGGCUAAUAGAUGGCUUUGAGAUCCGUGUAAUUUUUUUAGAAAGAGGACUAUUGAAGCAAAAGCCCUAAUAAAUAUAUGUUCAUCAAACCAUGCUAAAUUACUUGUAGCAACACCAAUUUUCAGCUUCUUAGUGUUUUCCUACUAAUUCAGCCUUGAAUGUACUACUUUCCUGCCUAUAUUUAUUUACAAAGAUCCUUAACUAAGAAGCUGACUCGCGUCUCAGUCACGCAGGUCCUCGAGACGGUGUCGCAGGUCCUCGAGAAUUGGGGAUUGGAGGGACGAACUGGGACGAGUCGAGAAGAACAGCACACGAAAGGGAACGGGAUGGCGUGAUGAGGAGUUCUUAGCAGAAACCUUCUCUAGAUAUACUACGCCCAUUUCCGUGCACGCAGGCACUUCAGGCCCAGCUACCACCUAUAACUCUCUUGUUGGGCCUUCGCUCACGGACACUCCGUCGUGGCCCAUCUGCUCCUCCUUGGCGCGGUCCAUGUGGUGCGGUGCUAACAGGCUCCACCUUCUUCAGUCACGCAGGUCCUCGAGAUGGUGUCGCAGUCCAUCGACGACUGGACAUCGGCAGGUUUCGCCGCAGCUGCCGAUCGAGUUCGUUGUGCUGCCUAUAUCUCUUUAACAUCGUUCCCAAAAGGAUUGAGAGCCAAACACAAGUCCUCCAGAUAGCUUAUGGCUAGCUGGCACAAUAUCUUAUUCUUAUGGUCCAAAGAAGCUAGAUUCAUACUCCGUAUAUUUUAUCGACUGCAUACGCACUUUUAUUUUUAUGUUUUUACUGUUUCCCACUUAAAAAAAUCUUCUAUAAAGUUCAACAAAUUCCAGACUCCGCAGCAACGAGCGAAGAAUUAUCUAGUUUACACAAUGACAAUGGCAGCCAAACCAAUACUAGAACCAAAUAAAUCAUCAUUUCAAAUGAAAACGGUGCCAAAACGGCAGUUAUUUAUUACAAAUUUAAAAUACACUUGAUGUACCAAGAACUACAUACUACUACUAUGCCCAAGAUUUAAAGAGUUACACUGCGAUCUUUUCCUGGCAUCACACAUUAAACUAAAUAACAUCAAGCUUGGUACUUAGUGAGAUUGCUCUACUUAGGCAUGUCAAAGCAAUUCUCUUAGCUUCCUCAAAGGGCGGCGGUCCACUCUUUUUCGUCCAACUAUCACCACCAGAAGUACUACGUUUAUGUGUAUCUACAGUUAAAACCUCCAGUGCAGGAGCAUUUUCGACGACGUGUAACAUAAAUUCGACUUGUCCUCUUACCCCUUUGAAUCCAGUAAUCCACAUCUUCUUCAAACGAUUGUAGGGAUUGCAUUGCCCAAUGUCCUGCCUACGAGGACCCACGUCUGCCAACCAUAAUGAUGUAGUGCCACCAAACUGCAAAGAUAAACAGAACAAUGUUAUCCAUGGUUCAACCAUUUUAUUUGCAAUAUGUGUAUGCAUUUAAAUUUGGGUGCCCUAGCCCCUAGAUCAUAUGGAAUUGAAGUGCAGAGGGCAGGUAAUGCGACAACCCGUAGUAGGGCUUUGCUAUUGUAUGACCAUAUACUACCAAAUGAAUCAAGUAGAAAUGAACCUGAGUACCAAGCAAUCAAAAUUAGUUUAGCUAACUAUAAAUAGCAUGACACCAAGCAAUGCAAUCGAUCUAAGGCAACUCAUAAUUUUACCCAACUGAAAUGAAGAAAGCAAUCUGUGCAGCAGGGUCCCAGUUGGAUAAACAGGAGUGUGCUAAAUCUUUUAGCGAAUAGUGUCUGGAUAAUUGUUUCAAAUAUACCCUCUUCUUAGAAGCUACCAAAAUACAGCAAACGAAUGAAUCAACGCGUUAAUAAACACUUGCAUAACUAUUGAAAAAAUAAUUCCGCCUAACUUUUUAGACACAUCACCACAGAACUUAAAGAAGAGGAGAAUGCAGAACUGAUAACUCACCGAGGAAUAUAGAUAAAUGGAAUAGGAUGAGAAUAAAAAACAAACUGAAAAAUACAAUUAUCACUUACAUGAACCUCCAAAUCCUCAAUAAAAGGUGUGGCCCUCAGAAUUGAUACUGAAUAAAGAAUGCUAUCUUCAUUUCUGCCAGGUAUAUUCAGGUACAACUGCAAGUGCUUAAGACGGGAAAACUUCAAUGGGUUGUCCCACAACCAUUGCUUCUGAAACAUAAAACAUAAAAUAUCAUUGAACUAAAUUUUUCAGAUAAGUUAAAACAUAAAACCUAAAGAUUCAUAUAAGGGGCUUACCUUUAUUAGGUCUAGGCAUGCAAUACGGAAAGUUAGAUUUUCCACGUUAGGAAGACCGUUGAGAAUUGAUACGAGGACAUCCUGAAAAACUCCAGCGUAGAACAUAAUAUUUGCACUUUGUAUCUUCAAUGAGUGGCUGAGUCCAAUUGGUAUAAACCGUCCAUAGUAUUCAAAGGUAGUAAGAUUCAUAGCAUGGAAUUCUACCUUGGUUAUUUCGCAACAGUCAAUGCUCAAGUACAGUAGAUGGGACAACGGACCAUUCACCACCAGUUCAUCAUUGAGGUGACAUCUGUCUAUGCAUAGCCACUCAAGAUUACAACAAUGGGACAACACAUGUCCAAGGUCCUUUUUGUUGGCAUGCACUAACUGUAGAUGAAGUUUUCUUAGAUUUGGGAAACCUCUAUAGUGGGAAUGUGGUUUCAAAGAUACAAAGCUAAGCUGCAUAUGUUGUAGGCGAGAUAUACGUCCACUGUCUAAAAGUUGGAAAGGAAACACAAAGCGCUCGAGCUGAGGUUUCAAGAAAAAAUCUAUGGGCUUUAGAUCCAAAGUAAGGUUCUUUGUCCCUGACGAGGCAGCAAAACUAACCCAAUUAUUGAGAUGGUGAACUAGAAGGCUAUCAACAAGAUCCAUCCUGACUUCAAGUGUUUCAACCACCUUGUCAUGGUGUUUCUGCAGAACAGAAUUAACCUCGUGGAUAAAUCUUCCCGUGUGCUGGACUAAAUCCCACCUAUGGCAUUUGCACACUUGAACACCAUCGAAAGUCAAUCUGGGGCACACAGACCACGUGCAUCUCAACUUACUUGACAAAACAUUAGCCCUUGCGAACUCUUUUGGCGGGAGUUUGGACAUAAUUCUGUACACGACAUCCUACAGCAAUGACAUAUACCACAUCCAUGGAUUAGCCUGAAGUUUAGAAGUAUCAUCUAUAUGUAUAUACACCAAGAACAAAGCCCCCAGUCGAAGAGAAAAGAAGAAAGGGGAUGAAGUUGGACAUACCAUCGGAAGGUCUUCAAACCGAACUCUUGGCACUCCAAACUCAUGGAUUGCAUCUUCACCACGAGCAUCAUCGCAUGAUCUUGUUUUUUGGCACAUUAGAUUGUUCAUCCUUCUUCUAAGAAUACGUUGUUGAUUCGAAAAAGGAUAAGCCUAUAUAUCCAUAUAGCAUCAGAAUUAACAACAUGGGGAUGGACAGAAAAAACAAUGAACAAUAUCAAACGGGACAAAUGCAUCUUUCUAUGGAAUCGUUCCUUGUAUAUUGUGCACAUGGAAAAAGUUUAUAUUUUGCAAAGAACAAGAAAACAGUAUACCAAUCAUCACCUCAAGUAGCACUAAAAGACUGGUGAGGCUUGGCCAGAGCCCAGAAUCAAGCUAACAGUACGCACAAAAGAAAAAAAAAAAGGUUCGAUCUCAAAUUGGGUGGCAGAAGCCCGGAGAUGUUGCUUUUGCGCGACCGAAUGAGAGCGCGGGAGAGAGAGAGAGAGAGACGAGUUUGGGAGUGAGGCUCACCUCACGGCUCACAUCCACGCACGGCAGGGGGCGGAUCGACGGCGGGCGGCGAGGCGUGCUCGGGCAGAACGCAGGCGGCGGCGGACGGACCCGAGUUGACUUGCCAGAAAAGGACGAUGCGACACCGCUAUUGCUAUUUUCCUACUCCGUAUAUAUUAUAUGGAGCCUGAUUCGACAGAAUCCUGGACGGACGGGCGUUGGCGUUCGCAAUCCGAGGCGGAGGCGGCGCCGGCGACAGGCACUCCGGCAGUCCGGCUCGAGCUCGCCUCUGCAGCUGACUCGCGUCUCCAGCAGAGGCUUUGGGCUUUGGCGGUUUGUGGUCUCGGCCCAAACUUAGGCGACAACGGAGUCCGCUACAGGAGUGAAGAACAGCUUCUCCAAUCGAUAAUCCAAAAGCAUGAAAAUACAAAAAAAAAACACAUAAAUACAUCUUGCAAGAGCAACAAGUUAUGGAUCACAACGCCGUUUACAGGUCAAAACUACCUAUGCGGCAAAAGAAUAAAAUAGAUCCCACAAAUCAAUAAAGAGGAUAAGCACCUAGAUGUUACAUUCUUGCAGAUCGAGCACGGAGAUCAGAGAUCCUGCAGAUUGAGCGCAGGGAGUGGAGAUCCUGCAGAUCGAGCAGAGAGAGCCAGAGACGAGGGAGAUCCGUAGCAAGCCAACAACUUGUCAUCCUACUCGUGUCAGCUUUGCUCUGCUAUAGGAGAUGAACAGCAGGGGAUGGAGGAGCUCGUGUUGGCCCUGCUCUACUUGACGAGGAAGGAGAUGAGGAGAGGAGCUCACAAGUACGGGCAUGUGGAUGCAAGGGGAGCGCUUGGCGUUGGCCAGUGCAAGCGUCGGGAACUCCGUCCGCCUCGCUGCUUUCACAUUUGGUGGCGGCGCGGUGGGGUGGAACAAGAUAAUUUGGUUAGCUUACUUAUGUAUUGCGCCUCAUCAUGGGCUUUCAUGGGCCAGGUAGCUGGAAUCAUACACCGGCAGCUUAGCAGAUCGGGGAUACGGGGAUGGGGGAUGCAUCACCGUCCCUGCCCCCGCUAGACCCGAUGGGGGGUAUUUUUUCCCCGUUUAGAUCCCCGUGGGGGUAAAUUUAGUCCCAUCUCCGUUCUCUAAUAGGGGAAUUCCUCACGGGGAAUCGGAGAUCGGGUUCCCGUUGCCAUCUUUAGUUCGGGGCUGCGUGUCUGCGUGGGGAAAAGGAAAAAAAAACUAUUUAUCUUUUUUUAAGAUUUAGAAUUAAAUAAUACUUAGAAUAAUAAGUAUCAUUAGAAAGAUUUUUGAAUCUAAUUUUUUAAUAAAUUUAUUUAAAAAUAUAAAUGUUGCACGUAUUUUCUACAAAUCAAGUUAGUCUGAGAAAAAGUCGAGAGAUAUGCUGAGAUACACCAAAUCCAAAUACUAUUUCCAACUCAUGAAAAUAUAUUGAGAUGCUUCAAAAAAUAUUUAAUUAUAAAAAUAAAAAAAAUCAAUAACUAAGUUAUACAUGAUCCCAUAAGUAUUUAUAUUUAACAAGCAUAAACCUAAAUAAAUUUUAUAACUAAGUUAUACAUGAUCCAAUUAGUAUAAAAUUUUUACUGCAGUUUAGGAAACAAUAAUUAGCAAUAAUUAGACCAUAGAAACUUAGCUAUGAAUUAUUUCAUUUAAUUACAGAAAAGCAUAGAUCUAAAGUUACGCCCUCUGUCUCUGAAAGCUUCAACUCCUAGAAUCAGUGUCAGUCAAACUUUUUUAAAUUUGACCAACUUUAUAGAAAAGAGUAUCAAUAUCUAUGACAUAAAAUGAGUAUAUUAUGAAAAUAUAUUCUAUGAUAAACCUAAUGAUAUUAAUUUGGUAGUACAAAUCUUAGCGUUUUUUACUAGAAAUUCGGCCAAAGUUUAGGACAAUUCUAAAAGUUGAAGCUUUCAAGGACAAAGGGAGUACAACAAAAACUUUGUACUAUGAUUUUUUUAAAGAUUUAGCUCAAAUAAAUAAGAAAGAUAAAGAUAAAACCGCCUUCAAAACCGCUUAUAACAUGGGUAGGAAGGUAAAAUGAACGGUUUUAAAAGUUGAGGGGUGUGUUUUACUUGAUUUUAGAGUUGAAAGAGAAAAGGUGGACUUUCAAAGUCCUUUUAGUAAUUAGUUGUAAGGGAUAAUGAAUAUUGUAAACCAAACUCUGGAAUUCUGAAAGUCCUGUUCGACACACGCUUUUUCCCCUUUUCGAAGUUUUUCACCUUCCAGCUUGUGGUAAACAAUUGGUACAUCCUAUAAUUCGAGCUACCGCCGCACGACCACUUCACCCGGCUCUGACAAUCCCGCGGUGCCAUGGGGCCCAACCUCAAGCUCGUCCUCAAUGACCGUGACCACAAUCUGCGAUUCCAUCAUCGACAAGCGUCGCCGCCACCGAUUUUGCCACCAAACCUAGGAGGUCGAAGCCCUCGUCGACGACCUCAAACCGGAGCUUCAAGAUUGCUAAACACUUGGAUCACAUGUGUUUGACGUACGCAUCAUCGCACCAGCCUAGGAUCAUCCCUUCUCUGAUGUCGGUGGGCACGUGUCCACAUGUCAGACUACUAGCCGACGGGCCCAACAGGCACUUCGAUGCAUCAUCUCCCCAGCCUAGGCGACAAGGGAGUGUGCUGGCGCAGGAGAUAUAGCGGCCCAGCAUCUGUAAGGUCCAAAUGGCUAGAGGGGGGGUGAAUAGCCUAUUUAAAAAUUCUACAAACUUCAACUAGUCAAGUUGAUUAGUAAAACAAAAGGCGAAGCUAUUCUAGCACUAGCACAACUAAGCUAUGCAAGCCACCUACACAAGUCUAGCAAGAAAGCUAAACACUAGUUACAACAAGAAAGCACAACUAGAAGCUUGCUACACUCCUAAACAAGAAAGCUAAGCUAAACAAGCUACACAACUAGCAAGGUAUAUACAAAGGUAAAGGAGAGGGGAGUGAUUGUUAUACCGACGUUGUAGAGUAGAAAUAUAUUCAAUCAAUCACUCACAAACACAAGAGAAUCCUCGGUAAGAGAUGACACAAGAUUUUUUACCGAGGUUCACUUGCUUUCCGGCAAGCUACUCCUCGUUGUGGCGAUACACCCACUUGAUGGAUCACGAGCUAAUUGGCAAUCCAAAGCCAAACCCUCAGCGGGUGCCGCACAUCCACUCACAAGAUGGGGAUCCUCCAAGCCACGAGCAAUCCACUAGAGUAGCCAAUUGCGAUCUCCCGCGGGGAAGGCUCAAGAACCCCUCACAAAUCACUUGGUGAGGCUCGAAACAAUCUCCAAUCACGAGCUCAACACCACUGCUGCUCCAAGCCGUCUAGGGCGUCGGGAAACACCCAAGAGUAACAAGAAAUCCGCAGCAAACUCAAGAAUCAAGUGCCACUAAAUGCAACUCUCAAAGCAAUGCACUUGAAUCUCACUCAAUCUCACUAGGAUUAGCAAUCAAGCAAGGAGAUUAGUGGAGGGAGUGUUCUCUAGCUCAAAGUAUGUCUCAAGUAAUCAAAUGUGCAAGAGAGAACCUCCCAAAGCCGGCCACCUUCUAUUUAUAACCCCCUCAAAGAAACUAGCCGUUGGCUGUUUUCACUGGGCUAAAAACGGGGGCACCGGACGCUACUAAGUGAGCACCGGACGCUCGACUCCCUGCGUCCGGUGCACUGGUGUUGGCCACGUGUCCUCUUUGAAUUCCGCGUGUCAGAUUCUAACGGUCACCUGCGCACCACCGGACGCUCUGUAGGUCCACACCGGACGGUCCGGUGCUCACCGGACUCGUGCGCAGAGAGGGUUGCAAAAACCCCUCACACCGGACGCUAACCACCGGACGCACUCAGAGAGCGUCCGGUGCUUAACCCUAGCAGGGUCAAGCACACCGGACUCUGAGGCCAGCGUCCGGUGCCUCCGCACUCAGCGUCCGGUGAGUGUUUCUCAGAGAGAAAACACUCCCGCGACUUCUCCAAAAAAAAACCACCGGCGCAAUAGAAAAUAUACUCUUAUUUUUCUCAAAAGCGCCGAAUCCCGCCUCGCAAGCUCGGCGGGAGGGAGAGAGGAACCCACACCCCUCUCAACCCUAGGAAAACUGUAACAGAACCGACCAAAUUAUAAGAGAUUAAGCCUAAUAGUGACCAUUUGCAUAGUCGAACCAUCACGCUUAAGCCCAUAUAAUCCCGGUAGUCCGUGAAAUCUCGAAGGAUUUCAAACCACACAUCGCAUAACAGCCAAGAUCGUAAUAAGUUUAGCGGUCGCCAUCCACAAGCACAUCCAGAUUACAACAUUCAUAAAAUACAUCGGAGUGCUUAAAGUUAUUACAAACCAAGUUCUUUAAGUAGCGGAAGUUUCAUAGUUUGAAAUUACAACACACACGAUAAGUCUGAUACAGUGCCAUAGUUCGGUCAUUCCCACAAAAGCAAAAGAAGAGACGGAGUGACCAUUGCCCUUGGUCUAGUCAUCCCCCAUAGCUGGGUACAGGCAGAGGAUGCAAUAACCAUAAUACAUUUGACCAUCUGCAAAACAACAUGGGAAUAGAACCCUGAGUACAAGAAGGUACUCAGCUAGACUUACCCGUCAUAAACUUAAAAUAAAGACUCAUCAAGGAUCAUGAAGGCUAUUUAGUGGGGUAGCUGACAACCACUUUGCAAAGACCGCAAGGUUUUAUUACCCGAACCUACAUAAAUCUUUUCUUCUUUAAAUCUGCUCAAGUUGAAAGUAUCAUUAUCUAUUAUCUAGGUUUGCUCCUGUGCUAUUACAAGCAAGUAUGAGACUAUGAUAGUACCUCCUCACAGCAGUCAUAAACCCGUUUCAUUAAACCCAAGUGUUCCAUAGUCCAUACUACGAGGACAUGGCUCAUGUCAAGUGCUCACUAUCCAGGAGCGAUGGCGAUUCGAAUCGAUUUCUAACCAGCUGACGAGGUAUUCCCCACACAAACCACACUCACUGAUCAAGUGAGCUACAGAUCACCGUAUUACACUAUCCAGGACCAAUUCGCGGGUUCGGCAGGCACCGCCAGUACCCGAGGACCGUUCCGGCGACCGAGGUAUCCAAGGUAUACCAAGGUUGCGCGCCGCGCCCUCGUCGUUCUCCUCAACCACCACCAAUACAGCGCAUGGCGGCUCGAUUCCCGGCCCGGAUAGUGUUCAGGCUUCGCGGUCGGAACGACUUAUCCUUCCAGCUAAGUGUGGGGCAUGCGUUCAACAUGACAAGAGGGCCGUCAACGAUCGGUCCUUAAUCGACACAGGCAGGGGCACUAUGGGCAACCCACCAUAAGACCCUGCCCGGUCUCCAAUUACUUUCCACACUUGGUUAUUUCUUUCCCCAGCAACCACUGCUUAAUCAAGCAGGUAUCCACCUAUAUCUCGCAGGUGACAGGACAUCACCCGACUUCUACCGGACUAAGCAAGCUAAGCAUAGACUCCGCGCCUAUCUACAUAGGACAAGGUAGAUAACGAGUAGGGAUAACAAGGAGUACAUAUGCAGCAACGGUAUCAGGCAACUCCUAUCACGUAAUAUGCAAAAUAGUAGAAUAAGUAUAGCACUUUAUAUAAGUUAGCGAGAAUAGGGAGACUUAGAAUGCUCCGGGGCUUGCCUUUCUCAAACGUGCUGGGUCGGUGAUCCGGGCACUCUUGCAGUUCCUCUCCGGGCUCUUGUGCUUCCGGAGGUUCCUGCUCCUGAAGCUCCUCGGGUUCCUCGGUUCCCACCUCGUUCUCCUGCGAGCCUGUAUGAUGCAUAUAUGCUCAUGAGUGGAGUGCGGGAUGCCCGAGUGGAUGCUUAUAUGAGAGAGUACCAAAGGAGUCAUGUCAUGAUGCAUAGAUAAUGCACUUGGGCAUGCUUAUUACAAGGUAGUCAGCAUCAUCCAAGAAUAAACAAUUGAACCAAACAUCUAUUACAUUCUCUUCUAUAAUUAUUUUUCAAAUGACAUCAGCAGCCUACAUGAUGCUUCAAAGAUACACCAAACCCAACUUAGUCCAUUCAACCCAUAUACACAACCAUUCAAAGUUUUCUUUAUUCAUUUCUAAGCCCAUUAAAAAUCACAUGCAAUUCUGUUCCUCAAUAAAUUCCAGAAAAAUUACAGGAGACUACUAGCUAAUCAUAAAGUCUACUGUAAAUUUUUCAUAAUUUUUGGUUACUUAUUUUGAGCCACAAAAAUCACAAGAUUAAUGGAUAAGGCAAGUAUAAUCACCCUACUGUGAUAUAAGUGUCAAACAACAGAUUUCAUAUUUUUAUAAUUUUUCUAAUAUCAUAAGAAACAUCCACAAAAUUUUCCAGAUUUAUUGCAUGACUCAAUUAAUUAUUAAAAAUCAUAAAGUACUGCCAUGCAAGCAUUUAAAUUACCAUAAAUUCAUUUAUUCACCAAAUAAUAUGUAACAAUAUUUUCUCAGUGAGUAAACACACAUGCAGAUCCAGCAAAACAAGUUUCACAUUUUUCUGAGCCAUAUUUCAUUUACCAUGCAUUUUCCAAGUUUAACAAAAACAUGGAUUAAUUAUUCUUACACAGAAAAGUUAUUCAAACAUGACAUGCAAUCAUACUAGGAUAUAGAUCUGGAAAUAAGGAACACACCAAAAUUUAUUUCACCAUUUUUGGAGCUAUAUUCAUCAAGAUAUGGAUUUUUGAACAUUUAAAUUAUUUUCUGGAAAAACUUUUAAAACGAAAAACCACCUAAAACACUAAACGCACCCGGAUCCAUCCCCUCGGAGUCACUGACAGGCGGGACACGCGAGUCAGAGGACCCCACCUGUCACCCACCCCGUGACCCCGCUAGGUGCACCCGGUGCAGUGCACCCGCGGCCGCUGACGAGCGGACCCGCCUGCCAGCAGGGCCCGCUGGUCAGAGCGCAGAGGGGGGAGGAGCUCCGGCGAGCCGGAGCUCACCGUCGGCGACCCCUUUCGGCGAAUCAAGCGGCUCUACACGUUCUACGGAUCACGGCGGACCUAGGGCACUCAUUUGCGCGGCCUAAAACGGACCGGAGCAGGCUCGCCACCGGCCAUGGCGGAGCGGCGGCGCUGCUCGUCGUCGGUACGGGACGCCGGCUCGGUAGAGCGUGGCUGGAGGGGCUUGCGAGCAUCGCGGUGCCAAGGCGAACACGAUGCGCCAACUACGCAGCACCGGAAGGCAUGGAGACGCGCGGAUCACGCGUGCGGCGGCGGAGCUCUUGCCGGAGAAGAAAGCGAGGGCGAGCGGGGCUCACCGUGCCUUACCGAGCGCUCCGAUGAGCGUUUCGCAACGGCGGAGCGAAAGCGAAGCUCGGGGAAGAACUAAUUGAAGAAUGGCGCACGCACGGAGGAGGAACAGCCGAGGCGGAGCUCGGGCUCCAAUGGCGACGGCGGCGCUCCGCGCGCGCGGGGCGAGGGCGAGAGAGCGAGAGAGAGAGAGCUGAGGGGCGCAAAUGGGAGCGGGGGCGGAAGCGAGCGCGACCGGGGCGCUUUGGUGGCCGACCGGGGCGCGUCCUCGCUGCCGCAUGCCCGCCACGCGGCGGCCGAGUCCUGCCGGCGCGCCACGGCGUCGCGGCGAGGCCGUCCGCGCGCGGACGCGGGCGCGAGCGCGGGGAAGGGGGGAGGGGAGAGCGCGGGCGGGCCGAGCCGGCUUCGGCCAGUGGGCCAGAAGCGAGGCCGCGGCCUGCUAGCGCCCCCUUUUCCCUUUUCCAUUUUUUUUUUAAAUUUCUUUUCUCAAAUCCUCUUCCAAAAGCAUUUUGACUAUUUUCAAAUCAUUUUCACCAUUUUCACCCAAAAGCAAAGUUGUUCCAAAACAAAAACUCUACCACUUUGCUUUAACAAGCAAAACCAAAUUCCAAACAGAAUUUGAAUUACAAGUUAAAACUCAGUUCUAGGUUUUAAUUAAAUUCUUUUUGGAUAUUUUUGUAUAAAUUCCAUUUCUCAAAUCCCAUAGCUCCAAAAAUUGCACAAAAAUAUUCUAAAUUCUUCUCACACAUAAAUCAACCUAAUUUGAAUUUUUCACAAUUUUAGAAGCAAGUAUCAUAUUCUUAACAUAUUUAAAACACAUGAAAUGAAGCACAUAAAAUCAUAAUUUGCUCAAGAGUGUCAUGCUCAUGAUGCUUAUGCUUGAUGGAAUGCUUAUGCAUGGCUUUGGUGAGACUAAGUGCAUGCUUAACACCUAGGGUGUUACAAAAACCACCUCCUUUGUAAAUGUGCUAACACCAACAAGUGUCCACCACCAAAGUGCACGUGUGUUAGCUUUUCACAAACAUUUUCACCAAAGGAGUUAAGUUAGCACUUUACUAGAUCCUAAUGCAUAUGCUCAAGAUGUAGACCUAGUAGCACUUGAUUCGAGAGAUGACCGUGAUUUCCCCUCUUAAUAGUCGGCUAUCUAUCCUAAACCCGGUCAAUCACUUCUCUACUCAUCUUAGACCGGCAAAAGUAAAACCCUAUGUUUAUACCUUUGCCUUGAUAACUUUGCUCCUUGUCUAUCAUCAUGAUCUCCACAUCAAGCUUCAUCUCUUUGUAGUCAUGUGGCCACCUUUCCAUGCCACCAUGCACCUUCAUCACAUGUGUUGCUAUGCCUAACUCAAAUCACUUAAACACAAGGCAUUAGCAACUUGGUGUCAUUAAUUACCAAAACCAAACUUGGGCUUUCAGCAUCUGACGGUCUCGGUCCGAGACGGGAUCAAACUUAACGGAACAAUUAUUGUCGAUAGUAAAUUGGCGAAUAUAGAUGGACAUUAUUAAGACGUAAAGAAGGAGACAACUCUAUAGAGCCAGUGGCAGUGGCAGGUAGAAUAGAGCUAUUACUGACAACAAUGGAUGGAGGAGUAGGAUACCGCGGGAAUAGAGCAUGUGAAAGAGAGGAGGACUAAGAUGUCAUAUAUGAAGUAACACUUGAGUUGAAGAACCACUCCUUGGACGAAAGAGGGGUCAGCGACGUUGUGCUGAAGGCGGAGGCGAGGGCCGUCGGGUCCCAAGAAGGGAGGUCGUCCAUAGGGUUGUAGUACCCCGGAGCGACCCACUGUCUAGAGCCAUCAGGAGUAGCGACGACAACAGGCUCCUGGUGGGCGAAGAGUGCCUACAAUUGCUGUUGGGCGAGGAGAGCCUGCUGCUGUGCUUGUUGCUAUGUCCGCAGGUGAGUGGGCAUCGAGAUGGGUGCUAGAGGAGGACGAGGGCCCCCGUGGCCACAGCUGACGUGGCCACAGCUGAAUGGACCUCAUCCACGGGUUGUAGAAGCUGGGCCACGAGCGACCACCAGUGGUAGGCUGUUGCUGUUGCUACAUGCCAGUAGGCUGCUACUACUGCUGGGGCGUGGCCCCUGUCCUGCAGAGGCGCCACUGUCACUGCUGCCUUUGUCGCUGCUGCCGAGCUUGCUGCGGCGGUUGUUCGAAGACUUGGGGCCUCCUCCAGUGCUGCUGGCGCCCGUGUUAGAGGACACAGGAGCAGGACUAGGAGAGUGCAAUGUGGUGGAGAUGACAAGCACAGUGGCAGGGGCAUCCUUCUGGUUCUCCAGGGUGAGCUUUUCGAGGAUGAGGUCGUCACGGGCCUCCGGGAAGGAGGGGAAGGGCCGGGCGCGACGAAGGAGGGUCCCGACAUGGCUGAAGCGCUCGUUGGGACCGCGAAUGACAUUGAGGAUGAGAGUGCGGUCAGUAACAGGCUCACCAAGAGCUGUGAGGUUCUCAGCCAUCUUCUUGAGCCGGCGAUAGUAGUCGGUGAUGGAGAGGUUGUCCUAGAUGAAGUUGCAAAACCGCGUCUCAAGGUGAAUGGCGCGAGCCUCUCGGUUGCCAAGGAAAUGUGACUCGACGGCGAGCCAGGCAUGCCAAGCAGCGGAGCCCUGAGCGGAGAUGAUCUCGGCAAGGUCAUCGUUGAGCGUGGCGAUGAUCCAAGACUUGACGCAGUCCAUUCGAUCCCAGUCAGGAGACGUUGGAGCCAGGGGUUCCGCGCGAACGUGAUCAUGAACAGAGAACUUGCCGAGGACGAGCAAGAAUUGAUCACGCCAGCGGUUAAAGUUACCGGAGUCGACGUCAAGGAUGGUGGUGACGUGGUUCCGAAUGUUGUUGACAGCGACGACGUGGGCAUGAAGUUGCAGAAGAGCAACAGCUUCAUGAUGAAGCAUGGCGGCGCGGAGAUCGUCAAUCGGCGAUGGUGCACCUCUAGGUGCCGCACCGGAGGAUUCACGUGCAAUUGCGGCAGCAGCGGUCACACGCUCCUUGGCGGCACACGCCAGGGCCUCGCUGGCACGCUGGGCGGCGGUGUCACGAUCCUUAGUAGUAGUUGCCUCCUCCUCCUCAGCGUGCAGGGCAUGUGCCAGGGUAGCAUCACGCACAUCCUAGUGUUUGCGCUCGAGACGUUGAGCGGCGGCGACAGCUUCGUUUGCCUUCUCCUCGGCGAGGUGCUGGACAGUGGCAGAGGAGUGUCAUUCCUAGCCUUGGGGGUAGGCAGAGGGUUCGGUGCCAUAGGGCGCAACACAACAAAGAGGACCGGCGCGCAGGGGUGUGGGCAACGGAAGAAAAAAAAUAAAAUAAAAUAGAAUAAACUAAACCUAGGCUGCUGAUACCAUAAGAGCAAAUAGAUCUCAGGAAUUGAUUGAUGUAUUGCAUUGGGCCUUAUAGAGUGAUUAUAUAGGGUAUAUAGGACUAACACCCCAUAUAGAUAGACAAUGUGGUACUAUUCCUAUUUACUAUAACAUUGAGCAGCCAAGCCAAAUAGGCUUGGGUGCCAGGCCCAUGGCCAGCCCAUAGGGCGCCUAUUCUAACACACAUAUUUGGAAAAUUUAUUUAUCGACCACCACUUGUAUGCAAUUAUGAUGAGUAGAACAAGGUAAUCCUUCUAUGAAAUCUAGAGAAACAGUGUGCCAGACAUGAGGAGGGAUUUGUAAGGGCAUGAAAAGACCUGGAUACUUGACUCUUUCAGGUUUUGUUUGCUUGAAAAUGGUGUAGGAAGUAACAAACAGGUGCACAUCUUGUUUCAUCCGCGGCCAUGCAAGCAAGGCUUUCAGUCGCUUGUAGGUAACUAGGAAGCCUGAAUGAUCCCCUAAAGGACUGGAAUGCAGUGCCAACAUGACUUGCUCUUGUAUCUUAGUAUUGUUGCCGAGCCACACCUGCCCCUUGUAUCGGAUAACACCAUCUGUGAGAUGGUACUUGUUCUUCAGCUCACCACUAGCUAAGGUUGCUAGCAAGGCUUGUGCUUGUGGAUCAGUGAGGUAUCCCUGCUGUACAGCGCCAGCCAUACUAGUUUAGACACUGAAAUAAAACACAGAUUCAACUGUAAAUGUGCUUGGUAGAGCUGCAUGUCUGGAUGGCGAGAUAAAACAUCAGCACAACGGUUGUCCACCUCCAACUCCAACCCUUUCUUAUACUGAAUCUAAAGCUGGAGAUGCAUCAGCUUGGUUAGUGCCUUUUGUUGAGUGGCGUUGAAACCCGUUGUUCAGUUAAAUGAAUAAGACUCUUCUGAUCCGUCUUGAUGAGAAACAUACCAAUGUUGUAGAUAGGGUGCCAGUGAUCUACUGCAUAUAGGAUAGCUAGGCAAAGAUGAAUGCAGAGAGGCCAUUUUUUCAGUCCUAAAGCCUUGCUGAUGAAUGCAAUUGGAUGUCCGUCUUACUGCAAAACUGCCCCAAUACCCUUCUCACUUCCAUCAGUUUCCACCACUUUGUUUAGAAAACUUUGGAAUGGCUAGGACCGGUGCUGAUAGCAAGGCCUCCUUAAAAAUAGAAAAUGUUGUUUGGGUCUGAUCAGCCCACAAAAAGGUUUGACCCUUCUUGAGCAAUGUUGCGAGGGGCUUGCUGAUGACUCCUAAGUGCUGCACAUAAUGUCUAUAGUACCUAGCCAUCCCUAGAAAACUCCUCCCAUCCUUCACACAUAUGGGUGUCGGCCAACAGUGUACAAUCUGCACCUUGACAGGAUCGGUAUCAAUCCCUGAUGCGCUGAUAAUAUGCCCCCAAAACUCGAGUGUGUUAGUGGCAAAGUUACACUUCUUGAGCUUCAGAUAUAACUGAUGCUUACGGAGGAGAGAAAAACUCAUUCCACCAAAUGUUGUUGAUAGUCCUUACUAUAAACCAAAAUGUCAUCGAUAAAGACUACAACACAUUUUUGGAGCAGAGGAGCUAACACUGUGUUCAUGAAGCUUUGAAAUGUAGCGGGUACACCGGUUAAGCCAAAAGACAUCACCUUGUACUCGUAAUGCCCACUGUGAGUUUGGAAGGCUGUUUUGUACUCAUCACCUUCCUUGAUGUGAAUUUGAUGGUAGCCAAAACAGUGAUCCAAUUUAGAUGCAGCACCAGAUAAUUGGGAUCGGUAACAUACUUUUCACAGUAUAAGCGCUCAGCUAGCAGUAAUCCACGCACAGUCCCACUCUUUAUCUUCUUCUUGAUCAGUAGAACCAGUGAGGAUUGAGGAAAAGGGACUGUAAUUAUGUUGGAUGAUUCCACUUGAUAGCAUCUCUUGUACUUACCUCUUGAUCUCAUCCUUCUGUUGUGGCGUGUACCAGUAUGGCCAAGUCUAAAUGGUUGAACUAUGACAACCAAUGGAAUAGCAUGUCAUGACUACGGUUCGAAGGAAGACCUGUCGGCUCAGCAAAUAAGAUAGCAAACAGCUGGACAAAGGCCUGGAUCUCUCGCUGAGAUAUACUCUGCCCCUCUGGAAUAUUAAGUGUAGAUAGCUCCAACAGAUGUUCCACUACCUCGUCCUUCAGCAGCCCUUCCAAUUAUUCAAUACUUAUAAAAUUACAGCAUGAUAUAUUUGGCAGGAUACCUUGCAGCUUCGCCUGUUUACCAUUAGAGUGGAACGAUAUCCAUUUGUUUUUCCAGUCCACCUCCAUAGGGCUGAAAGCUUCAAGCCAAUCCAUGCCUAAAUACCAUGUCAUAUACUCUAAGUGGCAACACCUUCAUAUCUGUGAUGAAUGUGUAUCCAUUUUUUUUAGGAAAUGUAAGUGCUAUCUUGACAAUGAUUUCACACGAGUGAACCUGAGGCCCGUUAGUUACUGAGCUCCUCAAUGCAUUUGCUAAGAUAAGACAGUGAAAUGACGAAAUACAGAACAACCCUGUGCACCACUGCACAAGUCUCACAAGGCAAUAUAGAACCUUCCUCACAUGUUUGUGUAUGCAAACUCAGUUCUGGUUGCCCUCCAUACUUGAAUUAGCUAAAUUGAUGAGCCAAUAUUCUGUUGCAAAUGACCUGAUGUAUUUCAAAGGUCUUAUUGAUAUGGAAUGUCUGCAGUCGAAAUUAGAAAAAUUGGAGAAGCUAUGUAAUUCUAAUAGUUGUGUGCCAAGAACUCGUUUGGGGAUUCCACCAAUUUAGCAUGUCCCACAAAACAAUAAAAAACAUGGUGACUGCAGGCAGCAAAGUAACAUGCAUCCUACAACAAUUCAAUACUACCAUUACAUGGCCCGCCGGCCCAUCAUUGCCACGCAGGCAUCUAGUCAGAAUCACAAAACUUGAGGUCAAAGAGUAACUCCAUAGCAUCUAGUUCCUGCAAUAGCUCCUUCACUGCGCGGGCUUGAUCAUUGUCCAGCCCAUAAUCUAACACCAUGAAGUACAACUUAGAUCGUCCGGAGUUAUUCCAUCUUUCAACUGCAUCUCUUACUUCCAUUUCGUUGGACACAACAAGAGCUGUCACAUGUUCUGUGGGAGGUACAACAGAUUGCAGUUUCUCAAAUACUUGGCCCAUAAGUUCAGCUGCCUUUCUAGCCUUACUAAUACGCAAUGAUGCAUUGGCAGCGAGAGUGCACACCGGUAUAGGUAAUAUAUAAUCAAGCAACGGACCAAAUUGCCCAAGCCAUUUACAUCCUUUUUGUAACCUCUCAACAUUGCUCCUAUUGUUUUCAAAUAUAUUCACAACAUACUUGUUGUACUUGUUGUGUAUGAGUCUAGCACUCCAUGAAUUGUCCUCUAACUUUAGUUCAUAGCAUCUGUCUGCACAAGAGACAACAGGAUUUUAUUAGUUAUUAGCACAACAGAAAGGCACAAAAAUUUAUUAGUUAUUAGCAAAACACAAAAGGUACAUAAGAUAUUAUAGUUACUAGGAGGAUUCCCCACGCGUUGUCGUAGGUAUGAAGAAGGAAUAUAAAUAGGUUAGAAUGUUAAUCAGUAAGAAUCAGGAGAUAUAUAUGUAUGGUGUUGGUAAUGCAGCAAUAUAUGUUAAUAAAUGAUGUGGUUUGCUAAUGUUAAUAGCUUGAAUGAAGACAUAAUGACAUGUGUUAGUUGGAUGUGUUAAUGGAUGCUGAUGUAGACACUUUGCAUGACGAGAUAGUUAAAUGUGCUAGUAGGAUGUUCUAGUGGAUGCUGAUAUGGACAUUUUACAUGGCAAGAGAAUGCACUCUGCUGCAGCAAAGACUUUUGGGUCAGCAUGCGCUGUCCAUCUCUUGUGUUGUAGCAAGUAAGGCAAUAGGCCACCUAAGUACUAUAGUUGGUAGAGGUACAUCAGCCAUGGUAGUGGGCUGAUCUAAGACUUGUACUAGAAGUACUAGGAGUAGGUAGUUGGUGUACACACCAUACCUUCAGUGUACCUGGUAGAGGUACAUGUAGGUGUAUAUAUACUACUUCAAUGAAAUUGGAAAAGGCAGUUCAGGUUGCCACAUUUAGAGGUUCAGUUUCAGCCAACGCUGAAACAGCGUGUGUGACUGUGUGUGUUGAGCUCCAGGAGGUCUUCUUCUACCUCUAGCUGGUGGGGUGAGUGAGGGUAGCUUAGCAGCUCACCUGAGCUUGGUUUGUAGGGGCCAAUAGAGAAAUUGCGAGUGGGGUUUAUCUUUAUAAGAGAUAUAGAUUACACACCUUUUAAAUUUGUGUUGCAGUUCACAAUCUCAUCAGAUUGUAUCAUUUCCCAACAAUUCUCAAUAUCCUCAGCCACCUCUGGCAUGCCAGAAAUGUCUUGGUCUUCCACCCUCUCAUAGAAAAGAAUAUAGGCCUCACUGUUGAGAACUUGUUCAAGAGUGACUUGUCCAAUGCAAUGGUCGUUUGCACGAAACCAUGAGGAAGAGCAGCUGCUACCCUCUUGCUGAUUUCCAAGCCUUCUUGCUCUAACGUAGGCAAUGUAGUGUCCUGACCUCAAGGUAUCCUUGCCAAUGUGCUCUACAACACCAGCUAGACGAUAGCAGGUGCUACCUUCGUCAACAAAGCUGAAUAUUGGAGAAAAUGAAACAGAAUUAGGACCAUAUGGUCAUAAAUUAAUGCAAUCUUUUACAAAUAAUGCCAUGCCUUUCUUGGUCAUGUAUCCUCAUAACUGAACAUUGUCAACAAGACUCCUCUGUCAGAUAAACACCCACGAUCCCUUCUCGAGUGAUCAAUCAUCUAUCAAUGAAGUUCUCAACAAAUAAAGGCUAUAGAAUUAAGAAGGCCUUACACAUUUACCUUUCUCCCCCCCCCCCAAAAAAAAAAUUUAUUUAUAUAUUUGAAAGACCAAUACCAGAAGCCAGAACUGUAGCUAGAUGCAAAUAGAUACUGAGCUCCCAGAUAUGAUAAUUCUAUUUUACAGUGAAGUAAACAAUACAGUGCAUCAGUGAACUGGGAUUGUAGCAGACGAUCUGUGUGUUCCAUUCAUAUUCAAAUGUGAUAAUUCUGUCACAAACAAACUCAAUUGCAACUGAUUCACUGAAGCAUUUUCCAACCAAACAAGAUUAUUUGAUAGAUUGAACAAGGUUCCGAUCAACAUCAGACUGUAGAAAAUAACUACAAAGAUCCACAGCUCCUAUGCAUAUCCUGGGUUGAAGGACCCCCACCUGUGUGUACUCUUUUUCAAUGAUCUAGCUAUCUUCUGUAAUUGUAAUUCGGCCAUGGGCCAUGUACUGAAACCUUCAGUGCUUUGGCACGGUCCAUCACCGGCUAGCCGGAAUCAAUGGAAAACCAAUCAGGUGGGGUCCCUCAACCCCCUCGGUGAUUGACUCAAAAAAGAGAAAAAGGGCAGUUGCUUCCCAAACUGGAAUCACAACUAAUUUAUAAACCUAGUUGGAUUAUUUGCAUUGACAUCUCAUUUCCUUUCUUCCUAAUGAAAAAUAAUACAGAUUUUGUAAGUUUCUAGAGCUGCACUGGCUCCAACAAUUACACCUGUUUAGACAUGUUAUUGAUGGCAUUUGUAUAAUUCUUUCACAUAGUUCCAAAUUCCAAAUAGGGAAGUACCAUAUGACCCAGUGUCCCAUUCCCAUCGUUUAUGAAAUGGCAAUGCAUUUUGAAUCUGACAUGAUGCUGGUAACUUUCAUAUGCAAUGUUAUUUUAUAGCUUUUUUUCCUUCUCAAACCUUUCAUUACUGCUGCAGUUUUUUUCUGCAUAUAAAACUUGUCCCUUUCAAACCUCUAUGCAAAUGAUGGAAAUUAUUCGAUUUUCCAGGAAAUUAACAUACUCUAUAUUUAUAUGGCAUAAAUUUUCACACACUAUAAUAAUAUAGCAUACUUAUUUCAAAAUUGUACGUUCAUUUGAAAAAAAAGAGAGAGACAAAUCUAAUGAGUAUAUGGCCACAAAGGCCCACAUGAUCACAAAUGAGAACACUGACGUAUGGGUAAAAAGAAUCAUUGACAAACAAUGCCAUGUGUUCUUAGUCUAGAGAAGGUCGUGUAUUGUUAAAGCUAGUAGGAAUGAAAUAAACAGAAAAGCUUACACAAUUAAACUUGCUACAAGUUAGAACUGCACAGAUGUACAAGGUAUUACUGUGAGGAACUAUCGGUACCUGGGGUCCAUGAACUGCUCUACAUCAAGGUACUCCAUAAAUCUCACAUGGCCACUUAUUUUGCUCCCAACAGUGUCAUGGCGGGAUCUCUUAAGGUGAAGAGUUAAUACAGGUGGAAGCAUGGUAAAACGAUAAAUCAUACUACUAUCUCCAACAUCAUCUGUCUCCACAUUUUUGCUGUCUUUCAAUAGGUAUGCUGUACGAGCCUGCUCUGAUUGCUUCACCGUUCCCAACAGGUCAGUCUGUUUUUCAGCUGGAAGAAUACCUCCAUGACAUUCAGAUUCUUUACCGUGGCAUGCUGUCCUGUCUGAUUGUUCAAUCUGGUCCCGAACAACUGUUUUGUCUUCAUUGCCGCUUCCCACCGUCUGCUCACCAUUUUUACUUUGACUGGCACUUGACUCCUCAUGAUCUAUGGUACAAUUUGGACAGCGCCAAGCUACCUGAUGAUCUUCAGAAAAAAGCAACAACAAGUCUUGAAUCGAUACAGAAUCUGCUGUCAGUGAAUCAACAGACUUGCCCUCCUGAAUCAGCAAAGGACUCUGAACAUCCUUCCUUUGACUGAUACGUUGCACUUUAGUAGAAUCUGCAGAAUCAAGCAUAUAUAAUAUUUAAUUUUAUCUGCAGUAUCAACAUCAUGCAACCAGCAACUGGCAUCCUCAUCCUCUACAUAUUUUUUAGGAUCUCUAUCCUCCAAAUUCAAAGUAGCUUUCUUUCUGAGAAUCCCUGCACAUGAUUAAGCGGAGCAACAAUUUAUUAUACGACGACAAGGACUCAAGUCUCAAGCUAUUUAUUCCAGUGGUAGUUUUACCUACGCUACAAACAGCAUUGCCGUGUUACCACUUCUGAAAGAUCCUGCUCACUUUUGUAUACAAAUCCCAAAGGUUUUCCUGACUUCUUUUCUGUCCAUGUGUGCAAAGAGCCCUCAAACCAUUUUCUCCACUUAGCAAGUGUGGGAUACAUAUUCCAAAAAAUGAAACGUUAUUCUUAUGUUGAGCAAGAUAACCAAUAAGAAUUCCAGUUUCAAAGUGUUCCGUAGUUCCAGCAUUUUCAAUCCUCAAAAGUGGAAUGACCUAGGAAGCUAGGACUCUAGAGUACCUCCAACAUCUGCAGUCAAGGCAUUUUAAUAAGUGCAGGAGCAAUCAUAAACUCACCAACUUCCAAAGGCUUCUGUGUUUCCUCCACAGCCACCUCUGAACCAAUAACAUCAGAAUAACCACUUGCAGGAACUGUUUGUAUCUUUUCCAAGUUUCUCUGCACAUCUGCUGGAAAUAAUUGAACAACAAUCUCCCUGUUUCGAGAUCUGGGACUCUCAUUUGUUUGUGAUAAUGCAGCACUUUUGGUUGGAUGCCCGUUUGAUGGGAAACCCAAUGACAGGUCCUGGAAAGGAUAGGGAACCGGAGGAGACAAAUGACCACAUUUUUUGCAGGAUAGCGUCCGAGCCAUCACAAACCCAAAAAUGGAAUCCAUCACUGUAGGAGCAUCAUUUUGCCAGCUAUCAUUCUCCUCACCUUGAUUCCAAAGCUCGCGCAAGGCCGUAAGCAAAUCGUGGCUGUCUUCCAUAGCCCCAACUCCGAAUUGCGGCGCACAGUCCUUGCGUACACAUUCCAAAACUUCAUUUGGGUUCAGCAAGUCUCCUGCAGCACUUGCCUCCAGAAAAAGCUUCUUGAGUACCUUGGCAAGGCGACUUUUUGGACGAUCCAAUGCUAACAUCCUUUCUCGCAGCUUACCAAGCACAAAUAGGCACUGCAAUACUGCACUCAUGUAGCAUGUGUUUCCGCGAUUUGGUAUCCCUCUGAUAGCAUAGCCUUGCGCAUCAGAUGAUCUGGACUCAUACCUAGGCAAUUUGUUUGCAUGAUCCACACCAACCACAGAUGGACAGCUUUCAGCCUGAACUUUGCCUGUCAUUUUCACCUUCUUUGGAUUGACCUCCGCCUUAGUUUGACCUAAGAUUGCAUACAUCCAAGAAAGCCAAAUAAGUAGGGGAUUUCUUGUGGGGAUGGUAAUAACCAAGAAGACGAAACAUCAAAAACUUCAGCAAGUAUUAACAUUCCAGAACCACUACCAAGAACAGUGCAGACCAGUGAUUGGGCCAAGGAAAAUCAGGGGCAAACAACCAUAGAAGGGAAAAAAUUCAGAAAACAUGAAACCCUGGCCAAGUCAAGAACGGCGCCAGGGAUUCAAGAAGCAAAGCUACGGGACCACAAAGAGCAAUGUCGGGGAAAGCUUACCAACAGAUGCCGGGGGAGCUAGUAACUCUGGACUGACAAUAUCGCGGAUCUCUUGAUGACCAACCUUGUUGUCACCUGCCCCGAAUUUGACCGGCUUUGGCACCUCAGCGUUACACUUGAAGCAGUAUCCUCUUUCUGGAUCACAGUACAGAACAGCAAACCAGUGCUUCUUCUUCAGGGCGUGUGCUCGAGAGUGCCCAAACGGGUAAGCAAUUGACCCAACCCCGCAGCAGAGAUGGUCGUAGCAUGUCACGCAGAUCAAGAGAUCUCGCUUCUCGGGCCUGACUUUCACGAUCCCCUUCUUGUCUUCGUCCCAACAACCAUAGCAAGUCCAUGCGUCAUUGGACUUGAAGACUGGAAACAAUUCCUCGAUAGCACUCAAUUCCUCAAUAGCACUGUCAGUCAUGACAUGAUUGCACUUGCACCGCCCCGCCCCUUCCACGAUCAGCUCUGAUGACUCAGGAACCGUAGGCACAGGCAGAGCCGCCAAUGGCCGUUUGUCCUGCCGCCGCGGAGAUUUACUCCGCGGGCUUCGAGAUCUCUUCGGCGGGCUCCCCUCCGCCUCCUCCUUCGUUGGCGACUUCCCCGUCGGGUUCGGCUUCGACGCCCCACGAGCCAGAGCCAGAGCCGCGUCGUCCAGCCGCGGAGCUUUCUUCCGCGGACUUCCCUCCGCCUCCUCCCCCUUCGGCGGCGUCUUCCCCGUCGGACUCGGUGCCGACGCCACAGAACCCGUAGUCGGAGCCGCGUCGUCCACCCGCGGAGCUUUAUUCCGGGGGCUUCCCUCGGCCUCCUCCUUCGGAGGCGUCUUCCCCAUCGAGCUUGCCUGGAACACACAAGAGCCACAACAAAUUAGAAUCGCGUGAAUCCGUUAAACCCCAAACCGCCCAGGAAACGAGAAAACCUGCGGAUGACCCGACAAUCGACAAAGCCAAAAUGAGGAGCGGGCAAAUACGAGAAUCCGUCGAGAAGACCCAGGGAAGACGACGGAAAAUCGAGCACUUCGGCGAGGAUCAAUAACCGCUGCCAGGAACCGUACGGGCCAGGGAUAAACCAACCAACCAAACCAAUAGAGCAAAAGGGUGAUGAACCAGAGAAGAAGAAUUCGACCCAGAACAACCCGAAGCCGCAUUCGUUCGAAUGGCGAGGAUCAAUAGCCAACACGCCAUGGAAUCGAACCGAGAGAUUUCAAAGGCGGAGAACCAGAAGGGGGGAAACUAUGAAAUCGGUCGAGAAGACGCGCCAAACAGAAACCAUUCUGGGCGGGAAUCAACAACAGCGACCACGGAUUCGGGGAUCCGAACCAGCAAAACACCAAUCGACCGAGCGACGAACAACAUAACCGGAGAAGGAAGUAAGGAAGGCCGUGGGGCGGAAGCUUACCGGAAGACGACGGCAACGGAGCUCGGGGUCGACCGGUCCGCGGCGAGGCCGAGAGGGAGAGGGGGUUUGGUUUGAGAGGGAGGGCGGCAGAGGAGCAAAUGAUUUCGCGCUGGUUUGGUUUCGCUGGGGGCGGCGGUGGGGAUUUUGGGGAGAGACGGUGGGCCGCGGAGUUGGGCUGGUUAGUUGGGAAGGUCGUGGGCCGUGGGCCGUGCGGACAAGGCCGGGGGAUGGACAUGGACCCGCGCUGGCUUUGCCAUUAGCCAAUAUGGCCCGAUCCGCAAUCACACAAUGUAGAAAAAUGUACGGAAAGUUCAUGUUGGGAAUUAGGUACACACAUAAUAACCCAUACAAAUGUGUGACAAAUAUAGGGAGUCUUAAGUUUAGAAAAAUGUAUAUAUAGGGAGUGUUUCCGUGAGAGAGACGGAUGUUUCUAUGUUGGAAGCUUGUAUUCCACAUAGAAAGAAAGCACAUGGAUGUCUCCAUGUUGGAAGCUUGUAUCCACAUAGAAAGAAAGCGCAUUGGUUGGCCACGUCCUUUGGUGGUUCACUUGAAUAAAACUAGGUGAAUUCUCCGCGCGUUGCUACGGAAAUUUUUUAAAAGUAAAUUAUUAUAUACAUAGCAUUACUAUAUGGUAUUCAGUCUAUUAUGUAUGUAUGUAUAUAAAUUUGAUUUGCAUGUAUUUUAUUGUAUUUAAUAUGGAAUGACAUGGACUUAGUAGGGAAUGAUGUAGACACCUUACAUGAAGAGAUAGAAUAUUUAGUGGGUCACUUAGUAGUGAAUGAUGUGGACACUUUGCAUGGAGAGAGAAUUCAUCUAGUGGGGUUUAGCAUUAUAAGAGUUAUAGAUAGUCAUUUUCCUUGAUUGUUUAUAUGUACACGUAAGAGAAUGAGUAUUUUUUUUCUUUUGUAGGUGCUUCGAACCCACCAAGAAAAAUUCCAUAUUCCUACUUCAAUUCUAAAAAUAUAUAUAUUAUUUUAGAGGUUUAGAAGCAUAGUCAAUGAAACUACACUUUUCUUUACAAUUUUAUUGUGGCACUUAAGAAAAAUUAUAGAACUCAAGCUAAUUCAGGAUUUGUGUUAUUGUGGGUGCCUCUAGUUCACUCUCUCAUUUUACAAUGAGUAAUAGUACAAUUCUCGUUGACAACCCAAAUAUUUGGUGACAAUAAUCCAAGAGUAGGUUCUUAUGUAGGAAUUUUUGAUUUAUAGUGAGAAGACAAUAAUACGAAGCCGCAUAUCACGGGGCAUGUUGAUUAUCACUAAAAAUAAUGACAUCAUUAAAUAUGAGUACCUGUGUCAAGGUGAAGACCUAACUUGAGCUUCAGUGACAGUGGAAAAAUAUCCCCUUAAGGUCUUGUUUGGAUGUAGUCGGUUUCGCAUCAAUCCACAUGUGUUGGGGUGGGUUGGAGUGGAACUUGAACUAAAUUCCACCCCAAUCCACUCCAACACAUGUGGAUCGAGGUGAAUCCGACAACAUCCAAAUAAGGCCUUGUUUGGAUGUAGUCGGAUUCACAUCAAUCCACAUGUGUUGAGGUGGACUGGAGUGGAAAUUGAACUAAAUUCUACCCCAAGACAGAGGCCCACCCUCCCAUCCAACAAUGAGUACCGGUAGAAUUCUCGAUAAUCCAAAAUUAACUUGAAAAGGUGCUGAGAAACAAACAAAACACCCUCGAUAAUCUCAAAUUGGGAAAUCCAAAUGGUCGUAGAAAAGCAGAGCUCCAAUGAAAAUAAAAGUCUUCAUGUGGUUAGCAAAACAAGGUAGGCUACAAACAGGGGCGAAUUUGAAGAAAAGGUAGGCUCCAUUUAGGUGAAGGAGAAGAAGUUUAGCGUGAAUCUAUAUAUCAAAUCAUGGGAUAAGAAAUUUGACAUAUUUCUUGGAAAAUUUUGGUGACACAUAAAUAGCAAUUCCUGGUUAAAUAAUUACUUAUGUACACUUUUCAUCCAUAUACACAGUUUUUUCUUCCUCUGUAUGUAUUUAUUAGUUCAAUUCAAACCCUAACAUCAUACUUUCACAUUCGACCGUAUUAGUUGCUUGAAAUCUUGUAUUCACUUAUUACUUUAAAACUCUUAUGAUUACUAUACCUUUUUUUAGUUCAAUUUAUAUUUUAUCAAAAACGAUUUUAUGUCCUAGACUACGAUAUUAAUAUUGUUGUGAUCUAUGCAUAAAUGUUCGUUUAAGGCCGCAUCGACCAAGCCACUCAAAAUCAGCUACGGAGCUGCUUCAAGUAAGACUUAGGAGAGGCCAAUAUAUAGUGCUAAACUCAAAAGAAUGUUAAUAUUUAAGCUUAACAAUCUCCCCGACUACUCCAAAUGAAUUGGCCUGUUCAAGCGCUAAGUUAGGUUAGAAUGAGGUUUUGAUCGGGGCAAAGAAAACUUGAUUUUCGGCUGGUCCAAUCCUAAUCUGUCCCGAUAUCGGGCAAGAUUUUCAGCCCACGCGUCCGUCCAUCUGGUCGUUUCUCAGGCUAAAAAGUACUGUUCGAAAUGUUUGAUUGAAUAUCAUAAUUUGCUUAUGUCCGAAAUGUUCACAAAUUUAGUCUCACCUGAAAUUACUUUAAAUUGUUUUUGCAUGCACGUAUAAUUUUAACGAACUUUGCUUUUUAAAUCAAAUGAGUUUAACAUUGAUAUUUAGUUUUACAAUAUUGUUAUCUUAUCGGACAAUAAUCUAAUAUUUAGGACAUGUUUAGUUCUCUAUUUGGGCCCAAAAAAUGGUUUUGGCCCACCAUUAUGCAGAAUGAAACUAAACACUAUCCAAAAAUUUUAGCAAAAUAGUCGUCAUUUUGCAUUUGGGAUUUUAGCCUCAAGAGCAAAAAAAAAACCCCAAAAUAGCAGCUUCAUAUAUUUUGGACCCUGGAAAUUUUGGUAUUUUGAAUGGAACUAAACCAUGCAUUUCUGCCUCCUGCUGGCUGAAAUGCAGGGAAUGUGUUUUCUGCCUCCUGCUGGCUGAAAUGCAGGGAAUGUGUAUCCUUCUAGUCUCUUCGAAACAAAUUUUUCUUUGUGGAGUAAUUUUUCUGUCGGGCUAAGUCAUUUUACUAUGGAACUUUUUUUCCCCUUGGACGUGGAACAAUCUUUCCUUCCAACUAGAGUAUAUUUGAUCUAACGAUCCAUCAUGCACGCAAAGAUGUCUUUCUAGUAGCUUGUGUGACAUAUAGUAAUUUUUGUGUUCCGCUUGGCAAGCAUGGUCAUAGCGCGGCUGGAUAUCAGCAAUUCAGAAGCGGCAGCAGCAGCUAGCCGUUCAUCUUUAGCGUUCUCGCCGAUAUGCUUCACAUGGGUAAUGGGUUCACUUUAGACGGAUGUACUACCAAGGAUUAUAUAUCUACAGGAGAUCAUUUAUUUGCAUUCCCAUGUAAAAUUAGACAUCUUGCAGUGCAGGUAAUGAACUCAGAGCUGUUCACUCGAGUAAACUCACACAGCUCUCCAGGUUAUAAAAUGAAAGAAACCAACACAGAGACAAAACCCUAGACUGACAGCAGAAAUUACAUUGUAAAUACCUACAGUGGUGCUGAGCAAUGCUACCCUCCCUCUCUGGUCAUCAACAGGCGGCACAAAUGAGCCCUAAUGUACAAUUACCCAGGAGCAGGCAGGCAGGUAGAAUAUCACAAGAGAGUCAUCUCCCAGACAUUAGGUUCACCAGACCUUGGUUCUCCUGGAUCGCGUUCAUAUCCCAGAAUUCGCUCGUCGAUGAGAGUGUCAUCAGCGCCACGACUAUGGAUCUCAUUGUGGGCCUCGCCUUGGGGUCUUCCUGCGUGCACGCCCUUGCGAGAACUGUCAUCUGCCAAAACAGCAAAUGAUGUGUUACACUGACAAUUUUGGAACAUAGCAAGAAGGGUAAAGAUAAUUCUACAGAAGCGUUAUAUUGAUCGUCUGUGCAUGGUUCUAACUUUGAGGAUUGAGUCCAUGGGGUAAUCCUCGCCUAACGCUGGAUCAAUCAGUCUUUGAAGACCUUCCUUAGGAUCCGGUGUGUUUAGAGCCUCCUCAAACUGCACUUUGUAAUAAGGUGAUUGGUUAGUCAUCAUAGUGUUAUAAAUGUGCUUGCAAGGAAAAAAACAGAGUUUGGUCCAUUGUCUACUGUCUAAUCAUCCACGAACACAUGACAACAAACCAGAGCAGGUAUGCCUCGUCUAUAAACAUACAACUCAAAGGAAUAACAGAUGAUCAGGUCAAAACAUUUAUUCAAAACUGGAAGUAUUGAACUACUGAUGUAGAUUUUACACUAGGAAGUAACAAAUGUCCUUAUGGUAAUGAAGCGCAGAGCAGUUUUCUUUUUCUUUCCUCGAGAAAUUGGCCACGAACUCUGGCAUUUACACAAUGACAAUGGCAGCUAAACCAUACUAGAGCUAGCGCCCGUGUUUAACUAGACCACUGGUCUAUUCCAUAGAAAUAGAAUGUAAAAGAGUUGAUUUAGCAUAAUAAUUACCAGAUAAACCAAUCCCUUUGAAUCACUAGAAGACUCGGUUGAUCUGACAAUAGCAUCUUUGGCCGAAAUAAGUUCAUAGAGAACAACGCCAAAGGCAUAAACAUCGACCUUUGGAGAAACAUCACCAUACCGAGCAUAUCUGCAAAUGACAUACCCCAUAGAUGUCAACAUUCAUCAUAGAUGGUGGUACUCUGGAAUCACACAACCAUGCCAUGACAUAUAAACAUUUAAGACACGUACUCAGGAGGCAUGUAACCAAAUGUGCCUACAAUUCCACGUGUGGGUAGUGAUGUAUUACCAACUUGUGUAAGUUUUGUUAAACCAAAAUCUGCGACCUGGAAGGUAGACAUAAUUAUUUCAUCAAGGAUUCAAGAAACAUAUUUAGAAAGACCCAUGAACUAGUCAAACCUUUGCACGGUAGUUCUUGUCUAUCAAGAUAUUUGCUGAUUUGAUAUCCCGAUGUAUGUACACUGGAACAGUAUGUUCAUGAAUGUACUCAAGACCUCUUGCUGAAUCUAGUGCAAUCUGAACCCUGGCAGCCCAAGACAGAGGCUCAUAACCUAUAUGAACAUGUGUGGUGAUUAAUUUGCAGGAAGCAUCAGAUAGGCAUGCCAGACAAGCUAAGAGGUGACACAUUACCAGUUCCACGUAAAUGCUGGCUUAAGUUUCCAUUCUCGAUAAACUCAUAUACAAGAAACAAGGAACUUUCGGUGCAAAAACCAAUCAAUCGCACCUGUGUGAAAUAAAGAUUGGUAAUCACAGCCAAAGGAACAAUACAAGGAUUAACUUGAAUGGAGAUAACAAGGAAAUUACAUGAUUGUUCCUACCCACACAAAACUAAUACUAUGCUGGAAGGAAGGAAAGACAGGAACACAAGGUAAAGAUACAAGGAUGAAACACAUAUAUUUCCUCAACUUGAUUUAAAUUAUGUGAAAGAUAUUGAUGUGCACAAUCUUCAUGUAUAAGGGUGAUGCUAUCCAUUAUCAAUGAGCAAGAUAACCCACAAUCUCACCCUGAACUGAUAUUGACACUCGUGACACCCUUUCCCAGUUAAAUGUGACUUGUAAGAGUUAACAAUAAUGAAAAGCACUUCAUCAAGGCAUGCAUCCCAUACUAUUGUGCUCGAGAGUUCCUACUUCCCACAACAACCUGACACUCAUCUAAAAGUUGCUAUCCAUAGGAUGUUGAAUUUCCUACUAAUCUUGCCUAUGAAGUAAGUUUAAAUUGUUUCAGAACUUUUCUGCUCCAUAUCAAUUAGAAUUCAAAGGAGAAUAUGGAGCAAAAAUAAACAACUAUACAAGUAAUGACAAAAUAUACAGUCAGAAUUGCUGUGUACAUCAGAGUAACAUGUACUCCAAACAUAAAUGUGUGCCUAUUGGCUUUAUAUGUGAGAAAGUAAACAAAUCUAAGGGGAAAACCACAUAUCAAAUAUGCUGUUGCAGUAAAUAAAAAGAAGCCACUAACCAGAUUCAGAUGAUGAACAUGCGUCAAAACCUUUAACUCAGCAAGGAACUCAUGAGAAGCCUGCAUAUCCAUUUUCUUUAUAGCAGCUUUCUGGAGACACCCAAAGCAAAACAUUUCAAAUGAAGAAUAGAUAUGAUUAUAUGCAGCUGAAAAAUAAGUUUGAACAUUGAACUAACCUCGCCCCUGAGCUCAGCAUAAUAGACAGCGCCAAAACCACCUUGCCCGAUUUUGUUACUCAUGCUAAAUCCCUCUGUGGCAUUGAAAAGUUCUUCAUACGAGAACUCUACUGAUUUGUCAACAGUAAUUCCUGGAACUCCAGAGGCACUAUCAGCUUGAUUGGUUGACAGUGCAGAUUUAUCCAUGGAUGUAGUAGCUGGAGAAAAAUAAAUAGUAGUAGUUCAGAAACUUGUGGAAGCUCCACUCACAUUGUACGCUUAUGGAAAUAAUGGAAAGAGGGCAUGGCAUCCAAGGGUGUUAACUCUUCUGUGUGCUAAGAAGUACACUUAUGGGUACUUGAAUCGUAACAUAGACCUUUUAGCACAUAAAAAAACACAUAGGACACGGACUCUAUUUACUAAACAAGAUUUCUGGUUUCCAGACAGAUAAAUAAUAGCUUCACAGGGUAAUCCUCUACAAAUCGGAAGCAUCAGAACCUCAAAACACUGAAACCAAUAUUAUGCUUGUACAUUGCUUACAUGAGCAAAGGAAAAAAUGAACAUGCAACAGUGGAAUCAUGAUUAUGAUUUUUUUUUACGGAAGAUGUUAAAAAAAAUAAUUUCCUGUUGCAGGAUAAUAUACAUAGAAAGAGAAGCAAAUGAUGUCAUUACCAAGUUGGGUAGAGUAUUCAGAAGAUGGUAGUAAGGCAGCCUUGUUUGCCUUUCUUCGCCUAUAGAACAUGGUAUAUAACAAGACAACCAGGACCAGAACAGCAACACCACCAAGAACUCCUCCUACUAUAGCUCCUACAGAAACUCCAUUUCCUGCCCCGAAUCGAUGAUGAGAUUGACAAUGUGUACAAGAUUCACACUUUUUUUCUCACAAGAAUAGCUGGCAUCCAGUUUUUCUUGCAAAAACCUUAACACGGAAGCAUAAUUAUCCUGCAAAAGGACAGAAGCUGCCUGUACUGCACAAGAUGAGAAUGCUUAUCAGCAUGAGUGCACAGGAGUUGAUAAUAUUCAAGUGAAUAUUGUACGAUGCAAUAAGCUGGCAGCAAAACUUACCCUGGUGAUUUUAAAGGACGGUAACUUCCAUUGGGAUCUGGAGGAGCAAAAAGAAGAAAAAAGGCAGAGAAACCCAUUUUAGCAAGAAAAGAUCAAUCCAACAGAGUUCGCACUAAUGCUAACAGCAUUUUAGAGGUUAAAUUGCAACAAAAUAACUGCGCAGUUCACAGAAUGAAGCCAGCCCUGCAACUGCAUACUAUCAGAAAUGUCACAUGUGCAGAUGCAUUGAGGAUUCCAAGGGAAUUUUUUUACUAAGACCUGGAAACUUUGACUUUUACAUAACUAUGCCUGAAGAGAGGCCAUGAACCAACAAAUGGAAACGGUAGCAAGCAUCAAACACCAAACAAUUUAGGAAUAUGUCAACCACAGUGCCAUAAAGAAUUCAGUCGGUUCUUCAUCUAAUUGCAAACAGACAAACACAAUCAAUGUGACUGUAUAUAGGAAUAAUUAGCUAUGUCAUUAUAAAGCAAGCCCGGAUCAAUCAAUCCAUGCACACUGACGACAAACUAUGAAGAAAACACCUCAAAUCGAAGCUAGCAUCCUAGAUUACCAUUCAGUUCAGCAGUGGUUGGUUACAGAACACCCACAAUUCCCUGCAUAAUACUAAUAACCCCCAGAACUCCCUCCUACAUUUCUCGCUAAGCUAAGCUAAAAUUGAACUGAAUCCCCCGCAAUUGACAUGACACAACAGCAGGAGCUAGAAAUGAUCACCUUUGACGGGGAUGAAAACGAGCCCACUUGUAGCGGUGUCCAUGCCGGGGUUAUACUUGCGGAGCAGGUCCAGCUGCGACUGCGAGUUGAAGCUGUAGUUGGCGGCGACGGCGGUGAGGGUCUGGCCAUCGAGCGGGUAGGUGAGGAACAGCCCGUAGUCCGGCGAGAUAUUCGGGUCCCCGCAGGAGCAGUUGACGGUGACGUUGACGGUGCCGGUGUCGGGGAUGUUGGUGGAGGGGUACGUGUUGGUCUCGGCGAGCCAGUCGGACGUGGUGAGGUUGUUGAAAUGGCCGGCGACGCUGGUGUAGGUGUCGCCGCUGGCGACCUUGUAGGGGAGGGAAGCGGCGAGGUAGGUGGAGAAGGGCGCCCUCGGGAGCGCGAGGCUGUCGCAGCGGAAGUAGACGUUGACGCUUUUGCCGGCGGCGAUGAAGUCCAGGUUGGUGUUGCCGGGGUUGUAGGGCGCCAGCGUCUUGUAGUCGCUGAUGCCGAAGAGGCUCGCGAUGUAGGUGAGGUUCUCGUUCCGGGAGAUGAGGUAGGAGCCGAGCGCGAGGUCGCAGCCGCCCCCCGCCGCCGCCGCGGCCGACGCCGCCGCUGCGAGGAGGAGGAGCCGCAUGAGGACGCGUGGCGGCGCCAUGUGGACGGACGGCGAGGAGGAGCAGGACGAGGAGGAGGGAACCCUAGCAGCGGAAGCGUGUAGCCAUUAGAGGAGGAGGAGGAGCUGGGGGAGGUGCGGUGCGGGGAGUUGGGGGAGGGGGAGAAGCAGCAGCAGAGCACAGCUAGGCACGCGGCGACGACGGGCGCGACAACGCGGCGGGAGUUUGACCCCGGGCGCGCACCGCACAGGGUGCGGGGGGCUCCCGGUGGGCCCCACCCCCGUGUUCGCGGUGACACUGGCAGGUGGGGGCUCGAUGGGCGGGCAACGGACAGACAGAGAGACAUGUGAAUCGAACGCGGGGGGCGGGCCCACCACAUAUAGGAGGAGUCGUUCCGGGGAGGCGCGGUGGCGGAAGUCGCCAGCGACGACGGGGCCAGCAACGGCGGCGGUCAAACCGUCAGAGGGAGGUGGGAAUUGGGAAGCGCUGCUGGGCCAGGUCGGCAACGGGCCACGGGAUGCUGUCCCAUUCGGGGAUGUUUCGCUUUUGUCCCUGGGCGCUAAUCCCGUUUUUGUCAUCUUGUCAUUACCAAGGAUAAUCAUACGUUUUAAAUCCGUAGUACUACAUCAGUGAUAAAGUGCACCGGGCACUACCGUCACUGCGUCAGGUUUCUCCGGGAAGCGAUAUUUGUUUAUGUGCAGGACUGCUUCUGUCGUCACGCUUGUCCGUACCGUAGAUGCUGCUUGCUUGAUUACUCCGUCGGUCCUAAAUUAAGUCAAUUUCUAAAAUUGUUCUAAAUUAAAUUAUUUUUAAGUUUGAUGAAUUUUAUAGAAAAAAAAUGCAAUAUCAUGUAAAAUAUUUUCAUAUAAUAUACUUAUAUGAUAUUAGAGAUGUUUUUAUCCUUUUCUCUAAAGUUGUUCAAACUUAAUAUAAUUUUGAUUUAAGGUGAUUCUAGAAAUUGGUUUAUUCUAAAGAUAGAAAUAGUAUUUUGUACAAUCUUAUUAAUAAGACAAAUAAAUGAGUGAAGCAUCUAAAUGGGGCCACAGGUUGUCUACUCAGUUUUGGUCACUACUCACUAAGCUUGGUUAUCAUGUACUCUAGCAAAAAAGUUUUUAUGGAUCUGGAGUUCUGGACUCUUAUCUCGUUGGAUUCUUCUGGUCAAAUAUGGUGGCAGAGGUUGGGGCUUUUCACUACUUGCUUGAUUCCGCCUGAAGCCACAGUCUCUGUGAUUGCAAUCAGCUUCAGUGCGAAUUUUCAAGAAGCAGCACAGCUCAGGCCUGCCACCGAAUUCUGUUGUAUACCAUUGAUGCAGUAAGGCCUUGUUUAGUUCCAUUUUUUUUUGCAAAAUAUACACCAUAACACUCUCCUUUGUAUUUAACAAAUAUUGUCUAAUCAUGGACUAACUAGGCUCAAAAGAUUUGUCUCGUAAAUUACAGACAAACUAUGUACUCCCUCCGUCCACGAAAGAGUCAAUUUCUAAAGUUGUCCUAAGUCAAACUUUUUAAACUUUGACCAAAUUUCUAGAAAAAAAUGCUAAGAUUUAUAGUAUCAAAUUAGUAUUAUUAGAUUCAUCAUAGAAUAUAUUUUCAUAUAAUGUGUAUUUUAUAUUAUAGAUGUUGUUACUCUUUUCUAUAAAGUUAGUCAAACUUUAAAAAGUUUGACUGGCACGGAUCCUAGGAAUUGAUUCUUUCGGAGACGGAGGGAGUAAUUACUUAUUUUUUAUGCAUGUGCCGCAAGAUUCGAUGUGGCGAAGAAUCUGAAAAAAUUUGCAAAAUUUUGAGAACUAAACAAGGCCUAAAUGGAGAUUGAGGAAAGGCAAGUCUGGUAAGCAUACUAGGACCAUGCCCGUGCGUUGCUACAUGUGUUAAAAUGCAAAUCAUCCUUCAUACUCUCUCCAUGCAAAAUUAUUCACUUUUUGAUCUUUGACCACUCCUCGUAUUAAAAAUUAUAUAAACAUAGUCAAAUUUAAGUCAUUUCUGAAGAACUUUUAUUAAUACACCAAGCCACGAUAAAAGAAGUGAUAUUUUGAAAGUUUUAAAUAAGACAAGUGGCUAAAUUUAGUGUCAAAAAAGUCAAACAUCUUAUAAUUUGAGAUUGAUCGAGUAUUUUGCAGUUAUCAUAUGAAAAAAAAAAUGUCUUGUGUGCAUUAUGGUAUUCAUUCGAGGCAUAGGCAACUAAAAGAAAAUGGUCAAACAUCUUGUAAGCCUAACUUGCAAUUCACUUUAGCUAAGCGUCAAAAAAUUACAGGGAGGCAUAAGGUGGUUGGCUUCACCAUCCUAGUGGUAGACGGGUCCUAGUGACUUUUUUUAGAAGUACAGAAGAGAUUAAGGCCUGCCACUAGAAGAAAGGCAAGUCCAGGUAAAUAUAAGGGUCCUAUAAUCACCAAGCAAAGAGAGUAGCAAAUAAUGACAGCGUAAAACCCUAUUAACAUUACAAGUUUACAACAGUUGCCGCAGUCUAGUAAAUGGAGAUUGAGGUAACUUACCAGACUUGCCUUUCUCCAAACCGAAUGCAUGGGUUUUACAGUAAACAUUCAGUUCCUGCAGGUUUCAGCAAAUAUUCAUGCAUUCCAAAUGAGGUUUCCUUGGACCUUCUGUCAGACUUCUCUUGUCCAGCAGUUGUACUGAUCAGUUUGAUCUUAGCAAAAAGCGAGAAGGAUAAUACACACAGAACAGAAAAGAAAUCAAGAUAGCCAACUUUUCUUCGGAAACAUCAUGUUUUACAAGACAGGGCAAAGGUAACAUGAUUAAACAAAAGACAAAAAAAAGAGUAGAGAGAGAACUCAGGGAGCAGCACAAAAUGCCUAAAUCAUACAACCAGGUGAUCUAUACCACAAAACAUCAUGCCCACUGUGUACAAUACAUAUAUUAGUGGCUUUACUGUUCCACAUUUCAUACAAUAAUGGUGGAAACGGAACAUAUAGAUAAAGAGCCGAAAACACCUUCAGUAUAUCCACUUGGCAAGUUCUUACUAUUUAUCUAGAUUAACGUAUUCUUCAACUGAGAAAACUAGAAAUAGGAAAAAAUCUCAGCAUGCACUGGCUGGAUUCCAGCAGAAUCACAUUUGCUCAGAAUUAUCUGAACAUUGGGUGAAGCUCUUCUGAAAGGCAGUUGUUUUGUCUCCACAAAAGGGGAUAGAUCCACAUGAUCAUUUCCAACCCUGUCCAUGAGAUUCCCCUUAGGAGCAACCAAUAGCAGUUUCUUUAGACCAGUGGCCUUCCUCAACAAAAAACUUACUAGACGCAACUCAAAGUAGUGGCCCUUGAAUUUCAUCAUCCUUACAAACAUAAGGUUACCAAAGUCAUACUCUGGUUCAUCUUCCUCAAAAUAAUCUUCCUCUGGCACAUCUUCUCCCAGAAUAUCUUCCUCAUACACAUCCUCAUAGUAGGGUCUUUCCUUCAGCAUAUAUUCUUGUACCAGUUCUUCCUGCAAUAACUCAUCCUCUGUCACAUCUUCCUCCGAAAGCUCUUCCUCUGGUUCAUCACUCUCUGUAUCUUCUUCCUCCGAAAGCUCUUUGUCCGGUUCAUCAUCCUCUGUAACAUCUUCCUCGGAAUGCCUUCCCUCUGAAUCAUCCUCCUCUGCCACCUCCAAGGAAUUCCCUACAAAAGUAUCACUACUGCUUGAUGGGAGCUGCAGGUAGAUGUAGUGUUAGCAUUCAGGAACACCAGAGAAAUAAGAAUGUAGUGUUAGCAUUCAGGAACACCAGUGAAAUGCACUAGAAACUGACCUGCACAAAGAGCCUCUCCAGCUUUGGACACCGGCAGGUCUGGAGGAACAUAUAGAUAUGAGCGAGAUUGGAGCUUUUCAUUUCAAACAUCAGCAGCUGCAGCUCUUUCAAGCUCGGCAAUUUCCUCAGCCUAGUCAAACAAGUAGCUGAUCCGAAACGAGCCAACGCAUAAAUUCUCUGCAGGAAUAGUUUACAAAGUUAUUUAGCAGACUAGAAUAAACUAGAUGAAAUGAAAAACAAUCUAGAUGAACAGCAUAAGAACAAAACAAACUACAGGCAUCACAGUGGACCGACCCGGAGGGCAAUGCUGCAGAUGGUGAGGACCGUGAGGUUGGCGAGGUUGGGAAGCGCUUGGAUCCAGUGCUUGAGAGGAUAUCUUACGCAUGGCCCCCGUAGGCAGAUGUAAAGGUCGUCAAGCUGCGCGGUGGCCGCGAUCUCGUAGAUGGGGAGAAGGGCACUGCUGAGGCGGAAGGAGCGGAGGCCGGAGGCCAAGCCGGCGUAGAGGUGGGUGACGCGGUUGCACUCGGCGACGGUGAGGCUCCUGAGGCGCCCCUGCGGCGACGUGGCGUAGAUUUCAUCGAGGAACUUGCAGGCGCGCAGGUCGAGGGUGCGGAGGCGAGGGCACGCCGGGAGAAGCUGGUUGAUGUCCACCGAGCGGGCGGAGUGGAUCUGGACGACCUCGAGGGCGGCGUACGCGUCGGAGCGGAGGGAGUAAUCGAACGUGACGUAGCCGACGUGGAGGAGGGAGAGGCGCGCGAGGCGGGGGCAGGCCGGCGGGAAGCGGAGCAUGGAGCCCGUGCUCAUGAAGUGGUCGGCGAUGUCGAGGUUGAGGUCCUCGGCGUCGCAGGCAGCGGCGUAUUCGAGGCAGCGGCUGAUGUCCUCGUCGCGGAAGUAGCGGUGGGGGAGGCGGCGGCGGCGGUACUCGCCGAAGUGGAAGGUGAGGGAGAAGCGGUCGAGGUGGCGGUGCCCGCGGCAGUGGAGCGAGCCGAGGAGCCGGUCCGGGUCGUCGACCCCGGAGCGGAGGUGGAGGUCGAGCGAGGACGGCGCGGGCCAGCGGCGCGCCCAGAGCCCGCGCCACCGCGUGGAGAGCGCGCCCGUGCGGAUGGCGGACUUGAGCGGGAGCAGGGACAGAAUGCGCAGCUGCAGGUCCUCCGGCAGCGCCAGGAUGGGGUCCCCCUCAUCGGCCGCCACCGCCGCUGCUUCCUCAGUGACCCGCCGCUUCUUCGCGGCCGACGCGCCGAGCUGCGGCGCCAUCGCGGAGCUACUCGCCGCCGGAUUCCUCCCGCGCCGCCGCUCACCGGCCCUCCCAGGCUCCCACUCCUCGCUCACGAAACCGCCAUGCUUCUGCAACGGGCUGGACUCACCGAGAGGUUCUUCUGGCGCAUCGUACUAGGCCCGGCCCACCGUAGAGUUAGAGGUAUUCUUUAUUAUUAUUAUUAUUUUGCCAAUUUCUUUUAACAGAAUACAGAAUACCAACCAGCUCGAAGCACCAUGUAAUGUUUGUAAGAACUUUGUAGCUAGAAUAGCACGACUUACAAUUUAAAACCUAUGGAGUAUGUUAACAUGUUCACCGUUAAUAACAUGUCUGAAGGCAAACAAGAAACCAUCUCAGGCACAUUCGGAGCCUUUUUAAGGACUGAGGAUUCAGGAACAAGAGAGUGAAUCAGGUCCCCAGUUUAUUUCUUAAAAAGAAAAAUCUGGAAAUGCAACCAAUUAAUAUGACAAGUGAGCAAAAUCCUAACCACAAUUCAAGAUGCAAAUCUCGGGCGGCAAUCCUUCUGAAGCCAUGCCAAAUCAUAUUAAUUCAUGCUCAACAGAAUUAUAAUCUGGAGAACAGUGGAACAUAACAUAACCUGAUAACAUAAAACCAAGCACCAGCGACCGUUUAGUUUAGCUGCUGUAGCAACAACAGCAUUAACCCAAUUAUCAUAUGAACCAUCAACAAUACUUUUUUUUUCUUUUUGAGGGCAAUCAACACAAUUUUUUGACAUUGCCUUGUAGAAUAAUACACCGGAUGACCAUAAUGCAACCGAUCUUGACAGUCUCUCAUCAACUGCUGCUGUUAUCUCUUACAGCAAAGCAUCCUGAAGAUAUCCACACUUUAACGCAUAUCAAUAAAAAAAGGUGGUAAAAUUUAUACUGAGGAUAUCCAAACUUUAGUGCAUAACACAAACAAAUGCGUAGUUUAUUUAGCCCUCUCUGAUAACAAAUGGGCCACUGAAAAUCUGAUCAUACCAGAACCGUGAAGCUAAUGCACUGCUAAAACAUAGAAUGUCAGAAAGGUUGUAUGUAAUCUGAUAGUCAUCUCAUCAGGUAUACAAAAAUACAAUGUCAGAUAGGUCCCAAUAACCAUAUAGGAUGGUCACUGCAUUGGUUGGCCAUUUCUAAAGUAAUUAAACAUUGCAUAGCCUACCAGUAAACACGGCAUGGUGACAAACAAUUAUAGACCAAAUAUGUAUCAUGUAAAGUUACUGCAGCCUUUCCUAGAACAACAAUGCUGCCUCUUGGAUUUCCUUCAGUAUAUGACUACGAAGAAUCUUCAAUAUGUGGGCGUGCCUAUUCCAGAAAAAAGAACAAAACUGGAUCUUUGGUGAUCAUGCACCUCAGACAACCUUUGGAGAUGAAACCAGCCUUUGGCUCUCCUCAUCCAACUCGACAGCAUCAUCAUCACCUCUUCCUUGCUUAGCUGCUGCCUCUCGCUGUGCUGAAGAAUUGCCUUUUGUUGCAACUGAUUGCUGAUAGAGCACUCCACCAGCAAGAGUGAAGAGUAAGCAAACCAAACCGAACGUGCUUGCGUGCUUGUCCCAGAUCAUCACAUUUAUUGCAACCGUGAGGAACUUGUUGACCACACCUGUCACUGUGAAUGCUGUGGCAGAGAUUGCUUUCCUUGCAGCAAAACCAAAGAAGCUGAUGAGCAGACCAAAGACACAGGACAGUGCAACGGCCACAAAGGAAUCAAGCUCAAACCAACUCUGUCCCCUUGACUCAAUGGCUCUGAAUACCGACAAGUGCUCCCCUGUCAGAAACCCAAACACUGGUGCCAUUAGCAGCGAAAGAAGAUUGUUGUAGAGCACAAAGCCCCAGGUGGUGAGCCCCAAGUUGGUGACCAUGUGCUUGAUGUACACCAUCUCAGUAGUUAUGGUGAUCAGGUAAGCGAGCGCCCACGAGUACGCAGUGAGGGUAAAUGCCGAAUCUGUCAUCACAUAGCCAACCGCGCCUCCCAAAAUGAUCACAAGGGACAGGAACGUGAGCUUGGAAGGGCACGGCUGCUUCCUGAACGUGGUGUCGGCGAUAGCCACCAGGAGAGGAGUCAGGGACCUGAACACGAUGAAGGUGUCGACGUUGGCGUGCUUGAGAAGGUGGGUGUUGGUGAAGAUGGCAAGGUAGAAGACUGCCGCGGCCGGCGCAAACUUCUUGGCGGUCUUGAGGUUGAAGGCGUCGUGGCAGAGGAAACCGAGCUUCCCGAGCACCCACACCCCAACCACCGAGGUCAGGUACUGCAGGGCGGUCAGGAGCCCAGGGUAACUGAACUUGGUGAUGGCGUACUUGUUGAUGAUUGCCAGCAAGCUUGAGCACAGCGCGUACCCGACCACGAGGCUGCUCGUGGCGUACGCCUGCUUCGCCAUGAAUCAGGCCCCUUUGACCUGAAAACUCACAUGGAAAAAUCAGAAGCCGGAUCCCAGUAAUCAAUUGUCAGCUGACACUAGACUAGGUUCAUCCACGGAUGAGGCGGCAUCAAGCAACCAGGGAUCAAUCAGACGGUGUUAAAUGACACUGGAUUCAUCCACGAACUAGAUGGCAUUGACCAGGCUGCUCCUGGAAGAACACAAAACGGGCCUAUUUGGAUUCUAGACAGCCAUGAUUCAGGGACGGAAGGCGGACCCAGUAGAAGCUAAUUUUUUUUUUCAGAAAAAUCAAGUCAGCAGGCAAGUAUAGACUUGUGAUUAGAUCAGAUCCGACUUCCGAGUACAGAUAGCCAAAUAGCUUAAGUUAAAGUUAGGGUUCGGGUGCUCGGUUUCGCACAGGAGGAGAGGAAGAUGAAGGGCGCGAAUACCUGUGGGCGCUCGUCGCCGACGCUGGACCCGACAAAGACCACGGCACCUGCCGUAGGCGGCGGCGGUCGCGCAGUUGGCGCGCUCUGGGGGUGAGGACGGGAGAGCACCUGGUGGCUGUAUUCAGUCAGUCGCUUGACAUUUUUGGGCCAAGAGGAACGAGAACCCAAAGCAGCAGCAGAUUAGCGGGUAGCGGGUGACGUCAGCAUGUUUGAGAAGUUUAUUAAAUAAAUAAAUGAAAACAAAUCUGAGUGUACUCCCUCUCUCUCCUGAAAAGGUAACAUUCUUAUAAAUAUUUAAACUCUGAUAAUAUAUAUUAGACGUUGAAUAUAUUUUCAAAAUAAGUUUAUUUAGUGAUACAAAUGGUGUUAAUAUUUUAAAAAACUAGCUAGCGAUUCUUUUAUGAGAUAGAGGGAAUACUCCCUCCAUAUAGGAUUUAGAAGAUCGUUUUGGAUAAGGAUUAGGUCAAACAUUGAAAAUAUAAAUUAUCAAUAAUUUUUAAAUUGUUGAGUUUACAAAUAUAAAAUUAUAUGAAUAGAUUUGUCUUAAAAAAUAUUUUCACAAAUUAUACAUAUAUUAUUUUUCUAAAUAUUUUUAUAAAAACAAGUUUAGAGAUUGUGGUCUUGUUUAGAUGCAAAAAGUUUUUGAAUUUUGACACUGUAGCAUUUUCGUUUUUAUUUGACAAACAUUGUCCAAUUAUGGAGUAACUAGGCUUAAAAGAUUCGUCUUGUGAUUUAUAGGUAAACUGUGCAAUUAGUUAAUUUUUUUAUCUAUAUUUAAUACUUCAUGCAUGUGCCGUAAGAUUCGAUGUGACGAAGAAUCUUUAAAGUUUUGGUUUUUUGGUUAUAUCUAAACAAGGCCUGUGUCGCUAGCUAUCCUAAAUAGUAACUUCUAAAUUCUAAUGGAGUAGCUUACAAUACAAUCUUUAAAACAAGACCUCUCGUAAGUAUUUGAAUAUUUUAUUUUGUAGACAUACAAUUUUUCUCGUAAAAAAGAAAACAUUUACGAGACAAAUCUGGGAGACAAAUCUAGUUCUUAUGGCCACUUUUUUUCCGCAGUCGACUCUUCCGAGCAGCUUCUCUGUUCUGCGCGAGCCUUACCUGAGGCAAAUCAUUUCAGGUUUACAUUCUGACCAUUUUAUUUCUCUUGCAAAAAUAAAUCAACAAACGUACGAAUGGAGAAUUAAGACUUAAAGGAAUGACAGCUAUCUAUCAGAAGCUCUUUAAAACUGCCAAUCCUUUAGUUGCUUCUGAAGCUGCACUACAUCAGGUGGAUGAGCCUACUGUAUGGGGCAUUCAGAGGUAAAGCAAAAGCGGCAGCAGGUUGAAAAUAAUAAUUGGGCUUUCACCUUGAGUCACAGAAAUCAGAAGAACGAGGGGAGGAAUCUCCAGCUUGAACAUGAAGGGUUCUUAACAAUACAGCUUGAGUGUCAAUCAAUUCAAAAAUUUCUUAAACAAGAUGAAAAACGAUCCAAGGAUCAUCCACUGUCAUCAAGGAACAAUACGUCGCCCCAACGCCCAUGAAAAUAUCUUUCUGUUAGAUUCAGACAGGACAUGAGGUGGCCUGUUGAAUUUGGGUAAUACAGAUUACUGUACCUAUAUGUGCCCAUGGUCAUAGCACAUGGAUGGCAUCAUUUUACCUUCAGUGAACAGAAUUCUCAUUUGUUUCAAUAAUGUACCAUGUAUUAUAAUGUGGUGGAAACAAUAUGAAAGAAUAGAAACUAACAUGAACACUUACAUUCUGACUUUGAUGAUACCACUGAAGUCUCCUUCUGCAUAACACCUCUCUAUGUUCCUCUCCUCAAGCAAGCAAGCAGCUGCAGCUCCCAGCAAAAUCUUCUGUUCUCAGUCUCCAGGCAAGCAAGCAAGCAGCUGCAGUCCUCAUAAAUGAUCUAGUAAGUAUAAAAUUCAGAUGUAUGAUAGCCAAUACUAGUAUUAAUACUAGUAAGUCUGUUUUGCAGUUAUUUUACAGAUCUUAUUGUACUAGUCUAAAAUUCUAAAUGGUACUGUAGCAUAUAGGCACUGCUGUCAGAUUUUAGCACAUCUAUACUAUUGUUUAUCCAUAUAUAAACACUCAAGGAUAACAUGCCACUGAUAUUAACUAUCGAGUUUGAGCUAUAAAACUGAAUUUUACAUCAUUUCCACUGCUCCACCAGUUUCUUUCACAACCAGAAGACACACUAAUUAGUAAGCAGCUAAGUGUGCAAUCACCAAUGCUAUAUAAUCACUAAUCAGUAAGCAGCCAAGUAUACAAACAAAAAAGGGCAGAAGGAAGAAACAAACUAAAUUGCGCACAGAGUACAGUAUAGUUUCACUAAUUACCACUUCAUCCAGAAUUCCACACUUCAAAGGCUGUUAACUGUUAUUAGCCAUUAAUAGACGAACGCAGUUUCUUUGCCCUCAAGGGCACAUACUUUCGCAAUAUGGACCGCAGAAUUUGCACUAAGAUUCGUGUCCAGGAGGAGAGUGUUCAUCUCUCAAACGAAUAACCAAAGUGCAGUACGGGUGGGUUUAUCUCUCUCUCAUAUAACAAGCUCAAGCAUGCUUCAGCUCUCCUGGGCCUUCUUCCUCAGUUCCUCCUAGGUGCCAACGUCAGCUUCUUCUGUUCGGUUCGGUGGGUCCCAUGGGCCAGUACCUCCAUCACCCGAUCGAUGCCUGUCAAUGAACAGCUGGCAUAUUCAGCAACCGACUUUGCCUUCUUGUUUGUUGGAAAUGAAAUACAAAUACCCCGCCCGCCCGGCCUCGCUCGGCUCGGCGCCCAAAGCAAAACUAACCGUCGCAACCAAUAACAACCUGCUCUCGUCUCCUCUCUCUCUCUCUCUCUCUCUCCGGCCGGUCUCCGCUCGCCGCCAUCGGAGCAGCACCACCGUCCUCCGAGAAAACCCACCCUCGCCACCGUCCGCCUCCCGUCACCAGAGAGUCAGAGGCGAUGGAGUUCUUCCACGACCGGACACACGUCCGCCUGCGGAGCCGCGCGGACGCCAGCUUGUACCUCCACGCCGACGAGGACGGGUGGCGAGUGUCGCUGAGCCCUCACCGCGCGUCGCUGAACACGGCGUGGGCGGUGCACCUCCUACGGGACCCGGACACGGGCGCCAACUACGUCCUCCUCCACAGCGCCGCCUACGGCCGGUACCUCGGAGUCAGGAUGGACUACGACGACGCGCCGCAGGAAGGCCACCCCGUCGGCGUCGUCCGCGUGGUCCAGUGCGUGUACAACACGCCGCUGCAGCCCGGCAUCAUGUGGGAGGUGCUCGGCGCGGCGGACGGGGGUGGGGGCGUGUUGCUGCGCCAACCAGUCAAUCAAGAACCAAACGAGCAACUCGCGUUGCAUUACACUGUUGAGGUGAUCCCCCCCAGACCUGCGCCGCCACAGCUUCCGGAUCAAACUCCGGUGAGUUUGCGGUUCCGCUGCUUGGAAGUUCCAACUCCUUGUGUGUUACUAGUAUCUUGCAUUCCUAAUUCCUAGUUCCUAGUUUCCUGCCAGUAACUAAAAAAACGAGUCAUAUGUUCCAGAAAUUAAUUCUGAUUCUCAGCUAUUGCUAUGUGCUAACAAACAAUGUCUGCUGAUUGAGUUGUUGAAUGCUGUUCCUGUUCUUGUUAUCACCGUUGGUCUGGAGCUAACUAAUUCUCAAGUCUGAACAUUGCGACAGUCCGACAGUCAUGUAUUCAUAUUUCCCAGCUUUGUUUUGCUAAUCGUUAGUGUGUUCUAUUGCGACAUGCAGAACGGUGUCGCGCCAGUGCUGCUGAGACGGAUGAUACGCUACAUCCGGGCAGACAACUCCGGCAUCUUUAUCUUGGCCAGACGGGGAACGCUCCAGUUCGAUGGAAGGUCCUUGCAUUUCCUGAUAGGCGAACUGGCGAACGAACUCGAUGAUAACUUCAACAAUAUCACGCUGUGCGCGAGGGCCGGCUUCCUUGGGCGAGUCACACCUCUAGUUGUCGAUCUUCCUCUCAGCGAGGAAACCAUGGACAUUGUUGUCUUGACCACCGGGUCAGCAGGUGAGGAGAGCUUUGCAGAAGUGGAGUCAUGCUUUAAUUGAUGUUGCUAGACUACUAGAGUAAUAUUCUACUGUAUCUGUUGAAUGCCUUUCAUCAUCAGCCAAACGAAUUCUGAGUUGGCAUAGUUUCAGUGUGCCAUGUUUGAUACUAGAUCUGUACAUAGUGUUUGUCUAAUGACCAAACGGUGUCACCUAAGUGAUUGUUAGUUUGUUAGAACAUUAAAAACAUGCUCACUACAUGGCCUGAAAACCAUUGAUCAAACCAGAACUGCAAGUGACUACAACAAUUCAUAAUAGCGCUAUUAAACUGGCUUAAGGGUCAUAAACAAAUUCUUUAAUCACCUGAGCACUGUUUAAGAGAAACAAACAGAUCACUGCUCCAUUUCAGACAAACAUAUUACCACAAACAGUUCAUAACAGCAUGAUGGGAAAAUUGCCUCAAUGUUCUGUUCUUGUUACCUAACGUUUUGGCUCUGAACUGUGCAUUCAGAACAUUUAGUUGUGAAACUUUGUUUGAAUGCCUUGGCUGAUCUUGUUAUAAAUAUUCAACUGUUUCAACACUUGCAAAACUGCAAUAUGUUGCCUUAUGUGUAAAUGUAUCACUGAUUUUACUUGUUCCCUUCAAAUUCAGCGGCAAUGGAAUUGCAGCACCCAGAUAUUGAUGCAGCGUAGCAGAAUGUGGGAGCAAGCAGACUGCUGACAAUAGCAUUGGGAUGAGAAUAGGCCGCACUUCUCAGGAACAAACUUGUUUUUUUGGUUUGAUGUGUUGUGCUGACUUCAGGAGGUUUGAAUUGUGUAUCAAGAUUCAGAACUUACAAUGUGUGAGUGUUAUGUGGAAAUAAUGCUUGAACAGUGCAUAAACUCAAAUCGACUCAUUACAGUGCAUAAACUCUGUGGUAGUAAUACGUUUUAGUUCGAUGAUGAUUCCUCCAGUUGGUGGCAGCCUGAACUUGUUUGUUUCGGGAGCCGUUUUGAUCAAGGAGACAUCCACCUUUUUCUUUUAAGGUUCAACCAGGGGGGGGGGGGAUCCCCACCUGAUUUUAUUUGUAUUUCAUUGCAGUUUGACUUGGCAGCCUAGAUUUGUGUAGUUUUAGUAGUGGUGAGAAUGUACAUCCAGGUUUACAGAGCUGUUUGUAUAGCUUCGUGAAACGAAUUACACCAAAGAUCAGCGAUCGGUUUCUGCCUCCUGGGCAGCCUCGCCUUCCACUGCCUGGCUUCAGAUGGGCAGUCAAUCAGUAACUGCCUUAGAGAGGACAAUUCGUUUCUGAAAACAGCACCAUUUCUUCUCUUCCAGAGCUGCCACCAGCAUAAAGCGACAAGCUUGCUAUGCUGCUGCUGCGGCACUGUACCAACUUUGAUUGUACAAAGGAUGUCGUAUGCAGAAACAGAAGUUGGAGGGAUAGGUACGCCUAGGAAUGCGCAAAAUUCAGCAGCCUUUGUGCAGUGGAACAAGAGGUGCUCCGUUGUCUCCUACAUUGAGCCACAGAUUAUGCAUGAUGAGUUGUCCACGCUGUGCUUCUUGAAAAGGUUUGCACGGCACUGAAUUCGUUGUUUUCUGACAAGCCACAUGAACAAUUGAACCCUUGGAGGCGAAGCAUUGUUCCAGAUGAAAUCUGAAGCCGGGUCUGAUUGCUGUCUUCUCAUAUUCAGAAGCUCAUAGAUUGUGGAAGUGUCGAGCUUACCUCGGUGGCUUCAUCCAGCACUAUUUGUUGAAGGAUCAGCUGUAGUUGGCCAAGUUCAGCAACCGCUUGCGUUGUGAACCUGUUGACGAAUGCAUUCUGAAGAUUGGAGUUCACUGCGUAACUGACUGAAACCUCUUUUUGAGUACAGUGCGAAAAGAGAGCCGGGAAGCGAUCUGCAACCCUGCCAAGCACUUCAAUUAUGAUAUGCAUAAUCCCUAGCCUGAUUGCAGCUUGUAACCCUGCCAAGCACCCAAGCACCAUCGCAUGGAAAGCAUCCAGCUGGGUGUUCUUCUCGGCCGGCAUCCGACACCACUGCCUGGUCCUGAUCGUCGCGAAUGGAAAAUCCCCAGCCACAAUCUUUGUUUGAGGAGUCAAAAGCCCCGUCAGAAUUCAUUUUGAGCACGCCGGGCUCAUGCUUGCGCCACCGAGAGGACUGACACAAAUCCGACAACACACCCCGUCGUUCAUUCUUCUGAAAUCUGUCAGCUUGGGCUGCUGUGAUGUAGGCAACCUCAGCUGCAGUCCUUCUUCGACCUUCUUCCCUCCAACGAUUUCGUUCUUCCCACAACAUAGAGCAGCAUGAUCAAUUGAUCAUGGUGUGGUCCUUUUCUUUCAUUUUGAGGAUCAACUCCAUCAUACCUUUAGCCCAUGUACACUGCAAGCCUCUUCCAGGUUCCCUCCAUAUUCAGUUCUCUUCAUGCCUUCUUCACCUCUUUACAGUUCAGCAACAGAUGAUCCCCAUCCUCGUCCAAUCUUCGGCACAUGCAGCAUCGGGUAUCUAUAUUCAUCCCUCUGCGCUGAAGGAUUCUUCUAAGCACGAUAGUAUUAUGACUUAGCCUCCACAGAAAAUGCUUUAUUUUGGUGCACAGUCAAUAUUCCACAAUUUAUUCCAAAGAAUUACAUGAUUUUGCUGUAUGCAUAUCAGUAUUUUUACAUACGCUAAAAAUAAUAGAACAUAGAAAUAGAUGGAUUUGGUUGUACGUUGCCAAUUCAUAGACUACUUUGUUCACUGUCUAGAAAUUUUAGUUUUUUAAAUUUAAUAAUGACUUCUUCUGAACUGCUGCUUCGCCAUUUUACUAGUUCCUGUUCCUCUAUGAGUUCAGUUGCUGAGGCAUUAGUGUACACAAGAGCAAGACUUUAGGCAACAAGAUCACAGUUUAUCUGUUCAAAUCAAAAGUAUCACUGUUUAGGAUACGAGAUGAGAACUAGCUGUACUUCUUUUGUUCUAAUAGGUUCAGAAAACUCAAUUAGCCCCUCUAUUUUGGUACCAGUACUAGUAAGGUCUUAGUUCUGAAAAGUUUGUUGAUUUUACAUCAGCUGAAAUCAGCGUUCGAACCCUCUGUUUUUUGUUUUAAUUAUUAGUUUUAUUUCCUUCCUUGUAAGCUAUUAUAUUUGGCAAUCUUGUGCUGUUCUUUUGGGGAAAAAUCAUAAAUCUGUCACAAAACAAAGCAAAGUAAAUUAAGUGAGACAUAACAAACCAAAUGAAAAUAAAUUGAGACAAACUAAGUGAGACCACGUUUGUGAGUGGCCCUACGUAUAAUAGUCCAAUAAUACAGCAAACAUCUUUACCAUCAUCGAGGAUAUCAACACAUUUGAAUAUAUAUAAUGCAAAAACGAAAUUGCAUGACUUUUUUAUUUCAGCAAAAGUCUUAUGAAGUUUUUUAUUCCACCACGUACGUAUUUACAAAUUCGUGCAAGCAUGAAGCAUAAACGCGUCAGGGUGGAAAGUCUGCAUUCCUUCGUCAAGUAGCAAUGUAGCAUACGCUGAAACGCAUCCAUCCUGCCCUGAUGUUGCCGACACUUUGGGUUGAAACUUAUAGCCACUUUACGGAGUCCUUUGGCACUUGUAAGCACACAGCUUUCAUGAAGAGUUCACAGUCUGUUCCUGUCAAUCCGCUAAGCUCUACUUCCUGACUUCCUGUAGGUGAUCCAUGGAGAUUUCAUAUGCUGUCCAAUAGUCUUGGUGAUGGCAUUCGAAACCUAAUCCAGCUUUCAAGUCGUGGUGCUGCAGCUCAGAUACAUGUUGGUUUAAUGCGAUGCGGUUGGAGAGAGGAACUGUCUACAAAAAGAGAACUGAAUAGUACCAAUGAGUUUAGGAUGAGUAGGUGCUCACCUGCAGGCAGAGGAAGAAUGGCAAAUGUAGAUUCAGGUGCCCAAGAUUGCUGAAUCGCGUGAGUAGGUUUGCCACGCCCUCUCCAAAGUCAUGUCGCUCAAACUGAAGAGCAACAUUAAUGGUGAUGAUGCGGUAUCCUACUUUCAAUCAAGUCCACGUCCUCCUCGAAUAUCUAGCUUGAUCAAAGUUAAAAGAAACUAAAGUGUGUCAACAAGACAAUAGAUAAAUUGAAUAUUGUUAGAGGAGGAUAUAUAACAAAUUUAUGCAAUCAAGCAUGUGUUUUCAUGGAUUUGGCGAUUAGCAGUAACCAUGUUUGUGAGAUACUAUAUAGAUAUGAUCCUGAGAGAUGAGAUGUACCUUUCGGCCAUAAAGAGUCACAUCAAAGCAUGUGAUGGAGCUAUAGUGAAUUAGUGAUUGAGGAGUAGUGUGUUACUAUGGUUCUCUCGGCCUCGCCGUAGCGGUUGUCAUGACAGCAAUGUGACCACAGACUGAGCUUGAGUCUCCGCAUGCACGGCGGCAAGUCCCCGUCGUCAAUCUCAAGACAUCCAGGCGUCCAGCCUAGUUUGAGCUUUUCUGCCGAAUCUUUCCGCCAUUAAGCAGUGUUUUUCUCUCAUAACAAAUCAGCCACCGAAAUUGCACCUAGGCGAAAAAGAACAUUGCAAGUUGUUCAAGCCUCGGUAGGGAGAUCCUAAUCGCUAUUGUAGAUCCAGGAUGAAGCUCUUCAGAUCCUGCUGAGAAACGUACCGGAUCCACCCUUGCGCGGCAUCGAUCAACGCCGGCAUUCUCAGUUGUUCCAGGUGCACGGAGCCCGUGGCACACGAGAUCGCUAGGCUCUCCAUGGCGGCGCAGCCGGAUGAUUAGGUACUACUACUACGCCGGGCAAGGACGCCGUUGACGAAGGAGACGUACCCCUCCAAGGCGGCGCACAGCUCGGCCGCCGUGGUACUGGAGGACGACACUGCCGGCGGGCGAGAGUAGGCGAAGCGGAGCGCGGGAACGCGCGCCCAGAGCCCGAGCCACCUCCGCGAGAGCGCGCCGCGUCGGCCACCAGCUCGAGGAUGUGGAGGAGCACACGUCGUCGUGCAGGCCGCUGAUCAGGUCAUCGCCGUCGCCGGCCCGAUCCGCGUUGCCCGAGUCCUCCGCCGCGGAAUCCAUGCCUCGAUCUGCCAACAGGCUCGGCCGGCGGCGAGGGGCUUUAGUUUUCCGUAAUUUGACCCAGGAACUUGAUGCGUUCACACGACCACCAUAUCCACCCCCGCUUUUUUUUUUUUUUUUUUUUUUGAGCAUCAGAUCCACCCCAACUUGACACGUACUACGUUAAUCGCUAUUCACGACGUGACCAACGUCGUACUCUAACAACCAAUUAAGACUACACAGUUUCAAAAUCGCGUUCGAUAUAUUUGUAAACGGAUUGUAAGAAAUAAAGAAAAUAAGCAUAUAGGAUUAUCAUUCAUAUGGAUCCCCUUUUAGAUUUGUUGAGAAAUUGAAGAAGAAGAAAACAUGGGAAUCGUACUUUGAUCCGCAGAAUCGCUAGCAGGAAAAACACAGGACAUCACCCAAUCUGCUGUAGUGUGACGGCGGCCAAUCUCGCCGGCGGGGGGCUAAUUCGGGCUGUAGUAAGGCAGCACGGUGUAGACCGUCUGCACGACGGUGAGGACGAGCAGGAAGACGGCGGCGGCGGCGGACAUGCUGGUCCACGGGUUGCUGAAGUAGUCGUGCACCAGCACGGCGCGGUGCCGGUUCCAGCUGCGUCCGCAGUACUCCCUGACGUCGCGCAGCAGCGCGGCGUAGCAGUUGUCGACGAACUCGGGCGGCGGGCACAGCUCCCCGAGGUUCGCGUAGAACGCCGCCGUCUCCUCGUCCCCGCGCGCCAGCACGCCGGCGCGCUGCAGUGCCUCCACGUCGCGCCGCGCGUCCACCACCGACGCCAUCAGCAGCACGUAGCUCACCAGCCGCUGCAGCUCCCACCGGCCCCGGCUCUGCUCGUACGCCAGCAGGUUCGCGAACACGGCGUGGUUCGUGUAGCUCUCCACCGCCGGGAUCUCCAGCGUCCCGCUGCGCCGGUCGAACGUCACGUCCACCAUGCUCCGCGGCGACUUCUUGACGCGGAACGUCACCCCGGAGUCCUGCAGCUCCGACGCCGGCGGCAGCAGACUCGGCGACCGCUCGUCGUCCAUGGACCUGGACGUCAUCUCCUCCAGCGCCUCGUCCUCGCUCUUGCUGGCGGCGCCGCUCCCGAACCGUUGCUCCGGCGGCAGGAACCAGUAGUAGUAGAGGUGGAGCAGGUGGUGGAUCUCGCCGUCGGGGGGCCGCGUGCUCUCCGGGUCCCGCGGGCCGGAGGUCAUGUCGACGGUGAGGUAGUUGACGAGGACGUUGGUGACGAAGUAGUCCCGGCCGAGCCCGCCGGUGGCGAGGUCGUAGAAGCGCUCCAGGACGAAGAAGGGGAGCUGGUUCUCGAGCAGCAGCAUGUCGUUGUACACGUUCUGGAUCGCCCACGUCGCGUCGAUGAGCGCGUCCUCCUCGCUGUCGUGGCCCUUGAGGAAGAACUCCACGACGAAGCAGCCGUCGAGGAGGAGCAUCUCGGCGAACUCGGCCGGGGGAAGCGCCACGGGCUCGGCGUAACGGCGGCGGGCGCGGGCCUCCAUCGCGCGCGCGGCGCGGGCGUACGUGGCCAGCGUCGCGCCGCCGGGGCGGGACAGGAUGUCGCGGAGGUACCGCCACUUGUGCGCCUCCAUGGCGGCGAGGUGCCGGCCGGCGCCGCGGUGGAAGGGCCCGAUGGAGAUCAUCUGCGGGUCGAAGAGGUGCCGGUUGCGCUCGCGCAUCGACCCCGCCACGCGGAAGAUGGUGAACGGCUCACUCUCGUGCGCCUUCCCGGGCAGCGCCGCCAGGCGGCGUGCCAUGCGCGCUGCCAUGUCGUCGGCCCCCGCGUCGUCACCGAUCUCUUCCUCCUCCUCUUCAUCCUCCUUCUCCACGCCGCCGCUGCUCUCGUCCAGCCGGCGCUGCACGGACGCCGACAGCUCGUCCCCUUCUACCUCUCCGUCGUCGUUUGUCUUCUCCUCGGCGUCGCCGAGUGCCCUGCCCGGGCCACUGGUAGUGUCCACGACGGUGCUGUUCUCGUCGGCCGCAGCACCGCCGUGAUCGCCCGGUGUGGCGGCGACGGCCGGAGCGUGGUCCUUGGGCACUAGCAGGGGCUCCAUCAGAGGAGAAUCCAUGAGUGACAGUGACCCAAGAUGACCGUCACAUCUGUGUCCUUUAUGUAGGGGUCCUGAUUUUUUAUUAUUAUAUUCAAUCAAUAUGCAAUGUUGUCAUUCCUUGGCUAUAGUAUUUAUGGCACCUCGUUUUUUUGUUACUAUACAGUCAACAUGCAUUGUUGUCAUCAUUGUUUGACUAUAGAAAUAUUUAUGGUGCCUAUUUUUUUUAUUCUUAUUCAGUGUGUUGUUACAGUUUGAUUAUGGAAACAAUUUAAAAUUCUCUUUUGAGUUAUCCCUUCAAUUAUAUUAGCUGUUUAUGUAGGAUUAUUGUAUGAAAAAUUAAGCACCUAAAAUAUAGCAACUCUCAUAUUUAUAUCUAUAUCUAAUCCAUUCUAUAUCUAGAACUGUAACUAUAUACAUAUAUAAUAUGAAAAUAAGAAAAAACAAAACCUCUAAAUUUCGGUCCAACGCUCUCUCGCUGAUUCUCUCUCUCCGAUUCUUUUGUUUUGGUCGGUUUUUAAUAAAAGUAGUAAUACGUGAUGAAUUAGAGAUAAAAGUUCUAACUAAUUUAAUCUUGCAUACAUUUUUUCGGUAACCAAAGAUGGUUGUGAAAUGAGUCGGCACAGGUUAACAGGCCAAUAACAAAUGGUAUAUAUUAUAUAUCUUUAUCUAUAUUUAUCGCUAUCUCUAUUUAUAUCUCUAUCUCUAUCUUUAAUCUCUAGUAUUAAAGAGGCUAAGAUUUUUUUAAUUUAUCUAUCUCUAGUAUUAAAGAGGCUAAGAUUUCUUGAUAUAUCUCUAUCUCUAAUAUUAAAGAGGCUAAGAUUUCUAAAUAUAUCUCUAUCUCUACCUCUAAUAUUAAAGAGCUAAGAUUUCUAAAUAUAUUUCUAUCUCUAACAUAAUAUUAAAGAGGCUAAGAUUUCUAAAUAUAUCUCUAUCUCUAAUAUAAUAUUAAAGAGGCUAAGAUUUCUAGAUAUAUCUACAAUAUCUAUAUGUAAUGGCAAAUAUUAAAGAGGCUAAUAUUUUUUUCUCUUUCGUCGCCCACAACCGUUCAAUGGGGAUUGACGAUCCAAUAUUUUCCCUGUGCGUAUAAUAUUUAAAUGAGAAAAAUAUUCCUCUAAACUUUCUCCAUUCACUCAAAUAUUCCUCUAAACUUUCUCCAUUCACUCUUCUCUUAUCUGUCUUUUCUGGUUGGUUUUAUGAAGGCCCUAUUUAGUUGGUGCUAGUAAAGUUUAACUUCUGUCACAUUGAAUGUUUGGACACAUGCAUAAGGUACUAAAUAUAGGCUAUUUACGAAACUAAAACCAUAGCUAGAGAGUAAUUUACGAGACGAAUCUUUUAAGCCUCAUUUCUCAGUGCAUAAUUUCAUCAACAUGGUUUUAUGGGGUUAUUUUUAGUGUGGAUUCCACCUAGGUCUCUCCUACACACGAGAUGAAAUGAACUAAAUGUUGUGGUGGGCCAUGGUCAUCCUAGUCUCACUUACGUUGCAUCUGAUCUAGGUUUUCCUAGAAAUAUUUAUCUAGGUUUUCCUAGAAAUAUUUUAGAUCCAUAUUCUCUUUAAAACAUAUUUCUGUUGAAUCUAAAUCACUUUGUGAAACUGUUUGACUAGCUCUCUUAAUUCUUGAAAGUAUAAUUAGAAUUAAGAGAAACCAUAUUUGGGUGUUUCUCUGAACUAGUGAUACUUCGUCAAUCAUUUCUCUUUUCGUGGCGUUUGGCGGUGAUUCUACUGCGAGUCAAAAAGAUCUCUCUGCCAAAAGCACCCUUAAUCUCUAUUGAAUAAACAGUAAUUUUGGUAUUGUUUAUGAGUGUUUAGAGGUCAAUCUCGAUUGAAUAAACGAUAAUUUUGGUAUUGUUUAUGAGUGUUUAGAGCCGGUGUUUGUUCAGUCAAGCGCUGCCACUGCGUUGCAAAAACAAACCGUUGGAAACACCGGCAGAAACUACAGCGUUUCUGGGCAAACGCCAUCGAAAAUCUGUGACGAAGAUUAGCAACGAUAGCAUCUACGUAUGACUAUGACCAAAGCACUUCAAUGGAGCAGGCGCGAGGCUUGAGAAAGCCUGUGCACAAGGUGACACGGGCAUUCAAUUGUCCACCAGCUUUGUAGACAUCACUUUGCCUUAAUCGCUAAGGAAAUGAGUCAUGAGCGGCUGGAAAAUUCCAACAGAAUCAUCUUGUUUGGUAAGACUCCAGCUGAGCGGUGAGCACCAACAGACCAACAGACAGGGCAACUGUUGAGAUAAGUAACUGAAAUUCCAAUUCCACUGUAGAUAGCUGAACAAUUCUCAGUCUGACCUUACAUAAGGAGAGCCAGUUCAAAAGUAACUCAAAUGGUAAGUUUUGUAUGGGUCAGAAUAUAUCAAGAAAGAGACAUUUAAAAGAAACAAAAACAUUGGUGACAUCUGCAGACUUCAUAACAUCCAACUGCUAUAGCACGUAUCAUGUAUGUAUGGGGAAAAAACUGCCUUGCUGGAUCGUGUCAAUACCAAAAGCGGUUAUGUUUAGGCUAGUCUAUCUUCUCGCCAAUUGGAGAAUGAAGACAAUCAAUCCUGAUGCCCUCUCAAUCGAUGGCUAGACAUAAGGGUGGCAGGAUUUAUCACUCCUGGUCACCUUGGGGACCAACAUGGGCAGGAUACUUUGCAGAAACAUCUGCCCAGGUGCUUUGGCCUUCUGUCAGCUGCUUCACCACGGAUGCCACCUCGUUGAUGUCCACACGGAUCUGCUCCUUGCUGUCCCUCUCUCGGAUCGUCACGUUUGUUGCUGAAUCCACUGUUACAGCAAAUGGAACACCAAUCUCGUCUGUCCUCGCAUAUCUCCUCCCAAUAGAAAUUGCUGCAACAAACACAAGCUUAAGCUUACAUAUAAAGUCCUUUCGGCCUGCGUUAAUGGGAGUGGAGUAUUUGAGAUCAUAUCGCACAUACCAGUAGUGUCAAUAAUGUGGGAGAUACCGGCAGUUGUUAAUGCCUUAGCGAUUACUUUGGCAGCAGCAUCAAACUCUUGAUUUUUAACGAGGGGGAACACGGUGCACUUGAUAGGAGCCACAAGAGGAGGGAACCGGAAGACAUUCAGUUGUUCCUCUUCUGAUUUGCUAGGCCUUGUGUAAAAUGAAUGCUCAAACAAGCAGUAGAUGAUCCGGCCUAUGCCAAAUGACGGCUCGAUGACCGAAGGGGUGAAGACUCGCUGAUGUUCCAGCUUCUUCUCCAUGCUGAUUGAUACCAUCUUCUUUGUAAUCACCACAUCUUUUCCAAGUGUGCAGACUCUAAAAUUUGUCUCCCCCUUGGUUUCUAGUUCAGCUUUCAUCUCAAAUGCUUCCUUCUCACUCAUAGCCUGGUAUAUGGUGAUACCAGCAGAAUAAAGUAGUUUACUCAGGGAACGGAGACAUCAGAAAAGCUAGCAGCCACAUAUAACAAGGAUAAUGACAAGACUUGUUACCUCCAAUGCUUCAAGGACCAUCUUUUGGUUGCCCUUAAAAGCCAGCCCCAGGUCUUUUUUCGAGGGAACUAUGACAAGUUUCUGCAAUAAUGAAUAUAAGCAAACAUAUAAGCACAUGUUAAUGAAAUAACGACUUCAUUUUAAUGUAUGAGGAAAAAUUUAUAUAAUAGAGCACUCAGAACGGUAGUGAACUUGAACCAUGUAAAUUUUUGUAAUAUUUAGUUGAUCUUGAACCAUGCACUUUAAUGGGAAAGUAAAGCUGUCAGUGUCAUGUAUUUAACAUGAAAAGUUAUAGCUACUGCAGAAACUGGAUAUGAUAUCUCACCUCAACCUCUCUAGGUUUGGAGAAUUUUUCAUGAGCAACAAGUGGGACACCACUUUUCUCCUGUGAGAUAAUAAACAGACAAUCAUGGUAAUAUUAGUAGCACAUUUGCACACCAAACAUAGUACAAUGAUAUAAAUUUCAUUUAGCAAAGUGCAGUUACAACAUGAGAUGAGCAAAUCAAUUGAUGUGGCAACAUAUCCAAAGGACAAAAAUGUCUCAUAAAUUUUCCAGUGUGAAAAGGAUAGUAAUCUUACAGUGUGAGCUUUCAAAUCAUAUGCAGAUCUAUCAGCAAUACCCACACACUCUAUCCACCCAUAAGAGCACUCUAUCUCAGCAUCCCAACAGUCAGCAGCAUAAUGAGCCAUCUCAUUAGGUAGAUGCUGCCUGAAGCGCAACCUACCCUUAUCGAUUCCCAAACAUGUCAGGAAAAGAUAGACUCUUCCGAUGAAGUAACCAAGUGUCUCAUUGUUAACAGUUCCCUGUAAAUAACAAUAGUGUAAAAGUUUAAAAUUCCUUCCUGGGUAGGAACAACGUUAUAUAAACAAAAGAAAUAGAUUAAAUUGGAAAGAGAAAAACUGCCAGCAUUUGUUAACCUUUGAAACUGCUUCCCCAAGCUUCAUUAGCUUGGCUGACUCCCCUGAGAGUUGCAACUCUCUUGGAAACAUCAGGAACUCCAGAUCAGCAACAUCAACAAAUUUUGGAUGUGAUUUGUCCUCUGGGUCCACAAAAUGCUCAAUCUCUGCCAAUGUAAAUUCACGCACUCGGAGAAGACCUUGUCGUGGUGAGAUCUGAUUGUCAAGUAAUAGACAUAGUGAGUACAUUAAAAAAGGGAAUAUCUAAGCAACUAUCACAUAGCCAAUAACUGCUUUUUAGAAGCAUGCUAACUAUACAAAUGUACUAUCAUAAAGUAUAAAUUAUUCCAAGCAUAUUAACAAAAACUUAGUGUAGAACCUUAAUUAAUUUCAAGAACAAAGCAUGGAGCAUUGAACGAACAGUGACUGAAGCAUGCCAUAAUUGCGGAAGUAACAAGUGAAAUGGCAUAUAACACAGUAAUUAGUACAAACAAAACACAAACCUCAUUUCUAAAAGCUUGGCCGAUUUGAGCAGCUGCAAAGGGGAGCUUUUGGCCAUUGUAAUAGUACAGGUCCUUGAAGUUUACAAAAAUACCCUGUGCAGUCUCUGGUCGCAUAUACCUAUUUCCACCACACAAAAUUGGACCUUUUUAGCCAAUCACCAUAGAAGGAAACAUCAUUACAAAGAGAAUGGAAAUAUUCUUACCCCACGCUAAGACCAGUGGGACCAAUAGAUGUCUGGAACAUAAGAUUGAAUGGGUAGGGAUCAGAAAGCGGAUUCUUUGUAUCAGGGGCAACAAUGCCGUAUUCCUUAAUCUUUGCACCAAGUUCCUCUGCCGAGAGGUCAUCCAAAAUGGCAAGAAUACGCUUCAAUUCAUCAGCCUUCUCUUGGGGCAAGGCAAGGUCUUUCUCAAGUUUCUCCUUGCAAAAAUCUUUCAACAAGUGGUCAGCACGGUAGCAUGUGCCUGUCUUCUCAUCUUUAACCAUGAGGUCAGUAAACUUCUCAACAUGGCCUGAUGCCUUCAAGACAACCUCAGGCGUCACACAGGGGCAGUCAACCUCCAACAUGUUCUCUUCCAAAACGAAGUGCUGGGAGAGAAAUUAAGAAUCUCAGUAAUCUUAGCAAAGAAGAAGUAGAACAGGAUGAAUCAUCAGCCACAAGAAGUAACUAAAAUGUAAUCAAUUCCAGUAAAAACUAGCAAAUCACAACACAAACUGCACCAAGGAAGGCUAAAAAUUACUUUUCCACAGCACAUUUUCCAAUACUUACUAAUUGACAUGAGAAAAGUUUCGUCAAGAUUAAUGUCAACAUUGUAUAACUAAAGCACCGAAAAUAUUCUUGCUAUCAGCUGACAGAACAAUGCAUAUACAAACUUGAAAAGGGACAAUAAUGUAACACUCCUGUCCUAAUAGAAAAAUCGUUAUCAUCGUCCAGAUUAUAGAUACAAAUCCCACGGGAAAACAAAAUUCUGAAGGUCACAAAUGUCUUUUCCGCAUCUGAAGGUCACAAACCACUUUUCCGCAUCUGAAGGUCACAAAUGUCACAAUCGUUGACGCACAGCAAACCACGCACAUCAGCUAAGACGAAACUACAGGGUAAAAAAUUCAAAGCAUUCAGAGACAGAUCGCGGGCGUCACCUGGCGCCAGAAGGAAAGCACGUUGGCCUUGACGCGGCACCCGGGCGGGCCAUAAUCAUAGAGCCCCGCGACACCGCGGUAGAUCUUGAAGGAGGGUAUGUAGAACAGCUUCCGCUCGAGCGUGUUCACCACCGCCUGCCGCAGCUCCUCCCUCGCGGCGCCACCCGCGCCGGCCCCGAGCGCCUGCUGCAGCCGGCGCGCGGCGGCUCCGGCCUCGACCUUGAGCGCCUUGAGCGCCUCGACCGCGGCGUCCACGUCGGCCUUGGACGCGCCGCCGCCGGCCUUGAGCGCGCGCACGGCCUCGGCCUGCGCGUCCGCGGCGGCCUGGCGCUCCGCGAGCGCGCGCCGCAGCGCGUCCUCCGACGGCGCGGCCAUGGAGGUGACGGCGACGGUGGUGUGGUGCCGGCGGCGCGCUGUGGCGGCUAGGGUUGCGGCGGGCUGGGUUCUGGGUUUAGGGGUGGAGCGGAGGAGUGAGGAGAAGAUGAGCUGGGGGCGGAAUCGCAUAAAGACCAUUGAUGGAUGCGGCCGCGGCAACGAAAGCAAGACGCACAAAGAUCGUUGAAGAGUGUUCAUUUGAACCCUCGCAUUUUGAUUUAAUUAAAUAUGAAAAAAGUUCAUGGACCUAUACGAAUACGAAGGUUUCACAAACUUUCUUGUUCGAAAUUUUUAGUUUAACUUUAACUAUAAACUUCCCUAAAAAAACAUUAACUAUUAAACUAAAAAAAACUUUUAUAAAUUGGCAACGUCAAAUUAGCAAAGGUAGAUUUCUUUUGAAACAUGUUCGCAAUGUGUACCCUUUAUUAAUAUUUUGGAUAAUAUAUAUUUCUCUAAAUAAGAAAUGUGUUAUACUAAAGACCAUGUUAAUAAUAGUUUAAGUAUAACUAAAAUAACCUUAUAUUUCAUAGUUCUCAACUUUCAAAAUUGUUCAUCACAAAAAGAAAACUUUCAAAAUUACCUCUCUCUAACCAUAAUGAUUAUAGUAUCCUAAAAUCUUAAACUAGUUUUUGAUGGUGUAUCGUGCUUUACUCAUUCCAUCCUAAAAAAAUAAAAAAGUGUAAUUCCAAUUUUAAAAUAAGUCAAACAUCUUUAAGUUUAACCAAGUCCAUUGAAAAUUGUAUCAACAUUCAUGUAUACAAACAUUUUUACUAUAAAAAUAUAUCUAAUAACUAAUCGUGAGAGUUACUUUCUUUUUAGGAUGGAUGGUCUAGUAUUUAUAGUAUUCCAUCCGUUCCAAAAUAACUAUAAUUUUGGGUUUCAGCAUCACAAGUUUGACUAGAUUUCUAUAAAAUAUGUGUAACAUUUAUAUCUCUAAAUAAAUUUGUUAAAAUUAGAUUAAGAUAUCUUUUUAAUGAUACUAAUUAUGUAUUAUAAGUAUUAAAAUUUUUAAAUAUAUAUUUAGUCAAAGUUAUUUCACGGAAAGUGAGAGCGAUAGUUAUUUUAGGACGAAGAGGGUAUUUAGGAAUAUUACAAUUGGUAGGUUAUAUUUGUAUUGGAUCUCUUCAGGCCAUAGCAAAAAUGUGGACCAUCAGUGCAAAACUCUACAAAUUUUAGGGCCAGAGAAGAAAAUAAUUAAAGAUAAUAAUUUAGAAAAUUGCAUAAACUGUAUAAAAUAGAUAAACUGGGCUUGUUUGUGUUUAGGAGUGAUUGUACGUCUAUAUCUACAUUUAUUUAUACUACGAUUCGACCGAAAGAUGAUCAGUCAAUUUGACUUGGUGAUUACAAGACUAGCUAGAAAUUCUUAAGAACACUCAGGUGCUCAUUUGACUCCAGUCGGGUUUUGUAGUUCUUCGUUGUUAUUUUCCCUAAUUUCCCUUUGCAAAUGACUGGAGCUCAAGACCGAAUAUUAUUUCUUUUGAGGGUGUAUCUGAAACAUUACCAGUAUGCUGGGGUCUCAUUUGGACGGCGUGGAUUUGGUCCCGGAGGAUGGGAGCACACAUAUGCGGGUCGCUGUCGGAAAUAAAAUGGCCGGCCAAUGGUUACGAGGAUCUCAUCCCGUUCCCAUCCAAUCUGAUUCGAUGGCCUGUUUCUCUCGCUAUUCUCUUUCUUCACAUCGGUGGAUCCGUGGAUGACUGGAUGCAACUCAGCGUCGUGUUCGUGUCUAUCUGUAAUUUCUGGACUUCAUGCAAAAUUUUGUGCAACGAAAAUGAAAUAUUUUGGGAGCGUGAGGAUCUUAGGA
This 71359-nucleotide long non-coding RNA is filed under the name Sorghum bicolor (sorghum). Its description in RNAcentral is "long non-coding RNA (SBIC_LNC013368)". The stretch from base 37423 to 37531 matches the Rfam family "MIR5565 microRNA precursor family". The record is from RNAcentral. Lineage: Eukaryota; Viridiplantae; Streptophyta; Magnoliopsida; Poales; Poaceae.